This 60813-nucleotide long non-coding RNA is filed under the name Malus domestica (apple). Its description in RNAcentral is "long non-coding RNA (MDOM_LNC007938)". Lineage: Eukaryota; Viridiplantae; Streptophyta; Magnoliopsida; Rosales; Rosaceae. The record is from RNAcentral.
CCAGGUCUCCCAGGACUCCCAGGCCUCCCAGGCCUCCCAGGACUUCCAAUAUCCCUUGCUGCUGAAAAAACUUCAUCUAAGUCCUCCAACUCCAAAACUUCAAAGAAUGGGCAACUAGGUGAUAAUAGAGAAGUAGCCCAUCCAGAUUCUCCACCAGCAGGUUCAGCACCAUGAUUCCCAACCUGCCACCUAUCCUGGUUUCUGUUGGGUUCCUAUCCUAUUGGGCGUAACCCGUUUAAGUAUAAUAAGCCCAUUUAGGUCUUCUGAGUUGUGGUUUCCUGAACUUCUAUGUAUAUGGUCUCUUCCUUCUCCUUGAGAACUAUGUGAAAUAUUAAGAGAACUAUGUGAAAUAUUGAAUAUUUAAGUUUUAUCUUCUUUUCCCAUUUUCUCUGUAAUUUUCCCUCUUUCUUCUCUAACGAGAAUGUGUCAUGCAUAGACAGCUAGUCAGCUACGAGUACGGUAAUAUAAUACGAUUCAAUUAUUAGUUAAAUACAAUGAUUAUCGUUGAAACUCAAAAUUUCAGGACAAGGGAGUCGCAUGGAUUCAGAUAUAAAAAUUAUAUAUAUAUAUAUAUAUAUAUAUAUAUAUAUAUAUAUAUAUAUAUAUAUAUAUAUAUAUAUAGGGAAUUGUUAUUGGCACUUCAAAAAUCUCAUUCUACACUCCAAAUUUUCUAUGUUUGGAAAGAAAAAAACAUUUGUGAGGUGUGUAGAAUUAGAUUUUUGGAGUGACAAUAACAAUUCCCUAUAUAUAUAUAAAUUAUUAUUGAAUAUUACCCAAGGAUGAAAUAUGUGAUGUUUAUUAACUAAUGAAAUGUGCUUGAAAACUUUGAGUUUUAAUGAUAAGGACAAAAUAAAGGGUAAAGUGAAUAGUACCAGGAUUGACUUUUUAAUGUAAAAAUGUAGUUUUUCGUUAAAAUGAACAGUACCAGGAACUUUUCGUUAAAGUUCCCUUAUUAAUAAGCAUUUUAGGAAUAUCUCUGACUAUGUUUAUUAACAAUUCCCUAUUAUUGAAUAUUAUUGAAUAUAACCUUUUUCAUCCUUGGGUAAUAUUCAAUAAUAAUUUAUAUAUAUAAUAUUAUAAUAAUUUAUAUAUAUAUAUAUAUAUAUAUAUAUAUAUAUAUAUAUAUAUAUAUAUAUAUAUAGGGAAUUGUUAUUGUCACUCCAAAAAUCUAAUUCAGGGACGUCGUCGUUCUGUAAAUUAUUAAACCAUUCAAAUAUGCGAUGUUUAUUAAUAAGCAUUUUAGGAAUAUCUCUGACUAUGUUUUUAGAUUAACAUGCGCUUAGCAACAGAAAAUUGUCAUGGAGAAGCGGUUGCCCAAACUUAAGGCUGCAAUUUUGAGUGCUCAGAAGUGCUUGGAAGAUUGCAACUAUGUUAGGGGAUUGGUGAGUGACCAUCAUACGCGGAGUUGUUCUGCAUUUUUUAGUUGUACAGUAGUUGUAUAGACAGUCCAUUUUUCUACGUUAGCAGUACAAUUUCUUUUUGUUUUCAUCUUGUUUUUCCUCUCUUUAAUUGUCUGAACUGCAAUACGUUUCUGCAGCUUGAUGAAUGGUGGGACUCCCACCCACCAUAACCGUUGCUCAUCCCUAGAUAGGAGCAACCAGCAACAAUUGUUGUUGACUGGGUCUGAGUCGAUGGAUUAAAUGUUGCUGCCUGGCAUGAUCAUGUGAAGCAGCUCCUUGAAUUUUAUGAUCAGGAGCACUUGUGAGUAUUAUUCGAGUACUCAGCAAACAAGAUUUUAUGGGGAUCUAACUGGUCUUCCUGUUGGCAGUCCCACAUUGAUGGGGGAAGUCAACAAGGGUGGCUAUAAAUAUGAUUACGCUACUCUAACUAAUACCAAGGUUUUUUUUGGUAAAACCCCACACUUGACGGAUUGGGCAGGUGAUAAAGUUGGGGACUGUAUCGGUCUUAUUAGAGUGGCCAGUUGGGGACUCUAUAGGUCUUGUUAGAGUGGUCCCUGGGUCCGUCGAUCUCUACGAAGCCCCUUGUUUCAUUCAUUCUCGCAUUGCUAAAAACACAUUUUCAUUCAUUCUCGCAUCGUUAAAAACACCUACAAAGGCUUGGUAGAAACUCAAGCUCGACUUUAUGCUUGGAAGGUGAAUUCAUUAUCUCUGGCUGGUCGCGCCACUUUUGUUCAGUCUAUGACCUCCGCUGUCCAGUAUAUGCUUUGCAGACAAUAUUACCAAUUACCAUUACAGAUAACCCCGAGUGUCAAAGAUUUUCCCAAGGCAAGAGAAGUUUGGCAAAAGUUGGAAAGUAUAACCAAUAGUCAGACCACAUUAAUUUUCAUGAUUGGCUUCAUUUUAAUUUCACCACUAAAUCACUCAUAUUGGGGGGUUUAGAGUAGAUGUUAGUAUUUUCUGUUGCUUGUUGGUUUAUUUGGUAUUGGCGAAAUACAUUUAUUUUCGAGCAAGAUUUUGCAAUGUUAGAUGAGCCUACCGUCGAUAUUUGUGCAUAUUUUCAUGAAUUGUUAGCCUUCUAAUACUCACAAAAUUGAUAAAUGCCGAAAGACUGAAUCUUUGCUCCACUGGGAAGCUCUUCAUUCAAAAUUGAUUUACACUUGAUGGAAAAUAAUGCUCCUUACAUAACUAACCGGCAGCCGUGCCGGAGGCAAUGUGUGUAUGGAAUCAUAUACUGAGGAUAUUGUCACUUCUAUGUUACGAUUUGAGGAGAGAAAGGCGGAGUAGGGAAGCCGGCCGAGAGGAACAGCUCCUGAUCUUAAGAAGGAUAUGUUGUAUCAUAAACUUAUAACUUGGUCCCUUAUUGAAUGAAAGGGCAGGCUUCUGCUUUGAAUAAUACCACUUCAGACUUCAGUCCAAUUAUGUCUUCCUGUUCUGAAAAUUGACAACUCCAUGUGAUAACAAAACAUCUCAUGUAUUAUUGUACGGUUGAAAAUUGCUGCUUUACACUAUACAUUUAACGUGAUUAGAAAUUCCAUGAAAAUUUACAAACAAUACCAGGGAUGUGUCAUAGGCUGAAAAGGAGUAAGGAUGUUUGUACAUAGGCUGAAAAGGAGUAGGGAUGUUUGUACGUUCCUUCCCCACAGCAAAACCACAUAGCAAAAGGAUUACAAACACAGCUAACAAAUCAAUAAACACAAAAUCAUCAUUAGGUCAACGAUCAUAUGAUUAUAUCAGAUGCACGUCAAUUAAAUAAUUCUCAUGUUCAACUAAGGUCACUAAAAGCCCCCUAUUUGGCCUAAUUAGAUAUGGUCUUCGUGGUGAUAGGAUAUUUGUAAUAUAGCUCAUGACUUAAAAAAAAAAAUUCGGAUUUAAACCCUUGUGGUGAUAGGGUAUUUAGAAGACAAUCCAUUUCUAUUGAGCCACAAUGAAGGGAGUGCAGAAAUUCACAGUUUUGUUUUUGGGAUUAACAAAGAAAUAACAGAAAUUUGGUUUUUGGGCUUAAAUCACAACGGACUUCACCACAAGAAUAUAAAUCUGAUUUUUUUUACCACAUGGGCUAUCUUCCGAAUACUCUAUCAUCACGAGGACUAUUUAUACAAUUAGGUCAAUGUUUUUUUAAGGUGAAUAUCACAUGCUAAAACGGAGAAGGAUUCUCUCAUCUUCUAAUCUCUCUCCCAUUCCCUCCUCUCCUACUUGAACAAUUAUGAUUAAGUUAUGUCAAUAUUUUAUAUUGAUAUUUUUAUAAAGAUAAUAAGACAAAAAACAAUGUGUUGAUGCACAAAAUCAGCGAGGACUUUGGUACAACAGAAAGUGUCAGGUUUGUGACAUUCGCUUGGUUGCUUCGAUCACUAGUGAAGAUAAGUACGUAAAUGAAUAGGGACAGGGAAGCAAACACAAGAUGUACGUGGUUCACCCAAAUCGACUACGUCCACGGAGUAGAGGAGUUCUCAUUAAUUGUGAAGGGUUUACACAAAUACAUAGGUUCAAGCUCUCAUUUUUUGAGUUCUAGUGAAUAGUUUAGUACAAAAUGACAUUAGAUAUUAUUGUGGGAGAAUGAUCCCUAUUUAUAGAAGAAAGUUUCUAGUUUUGUUCUAACAUUGACACGUGUCGUGUUGUGAUUGGCUUCUGAUGUUGACACGUGUCGCGCUGUGAUUGGCUUCUGAUGUCGACACGUGUUGCAUUGUGAUUGGCCUCCUGGUUGAAGGGAAGCUCUUCUGGGUCCUUGACGUAUAACGUUGACCGGUGCUCAGUAGUUUCGGGAUUGGUCAAGUAUGGUACAAACAGUGCUCCCCUAAGUUCCCGAGUGAGGGAAGCUCCUCGGUUGGGGACUUGCAAGAUCCAAGCCACUGAGUAAUCACGAAACUUCUAAGUACCGAAGUGUGGUAUCAUUUUCACGCGCCUUAUCUGUCUCAUAUGUAGAUGUGGCAUCUUCUUUGGAAGUACUUUUCCUUCAUCCAUGGGUGGUAUCUUUAACCGAUGAAGAUGCACAAGGUAAUGUAUCAAUUUCACUUGAAGCUUACUUAUAGUUUCGGGCUUGGUCAAGUGCGAUACAAACCCUAUAGUAGGAGUCCCCCAAGUCGCCGAGCUAGGAGAUCUGCCGAAAGAGGUGACAGACAAGGUAAGCAGUCAAACUUCCAAGCAAGCAACCCAGGAUCAGAGGUUCGACUUCGGCUUCCGGUUGAUUGUUCUCCUUCUCCUUGUCUCUCAUUCAGCUGCCGGGAUAAGGAGAGGCAAAUGGAGAAGAGAUGAUAUGAGAUACUUUUGCUUUUGAAGAAGUAACUUUCCACAGGCUUAUUCUUGAACUGUGCUGGAGGGUUUUCUGGUUCCCUUCAGAGUAUAAGGCCGACUCAAGAAUUUGAGGGUCAAAACAAGUCCAUCAAAUCUAGAGUACGUUCGACCUUGAUGAUAUGGGAUACUUUUGCUGUUGACGGAAUAGUGAAUGUGGUAUGGAAAAGUGUCGUGCUGUAGUGAUCUGUUUCAGCUCACCGUUAAACCUUCUGCUUUAAUCUUUUGCAUGGCAGAAGUGGUGUGCAACCUUUGCAUUUAAAUGGUCCUUCAGAACAUUCCUUCAUAGUGACUCAUCCACGCUUGGCAGCUUCAGUGUAAAGAGCCAAUAUCUGAUCAACUGUCAUGAGGUAUGUGCCGGUGGAAUUCAUGACCUUGACAGCAGUUGAGGAUGAGUUCUCGAGAGCAAUGCUAAGUAAGCAACCAGGCAAAGGUCUCAGGCAGUCAGUUCCAGAUUGGAGGUUUGAUUUCAGGUUCCGACUGACUGCUCUCUUUCUCUUGUCCUGCAGGUGUGGACAAGGACGAAGACAAGGACAGGGAGAAAGCAUAAUAUGAGAUACUCUUACUUUCGACCCUGAUGAUAUGAGAUACUCUUGUUCUUGGUGUGGCUUAUUUGCUGAGGUAUUAUCGGGGGGAAAUAAAGCUGAGUAUUUCGAGAGGUUAUGUUGAGGGUGCAUUCUCGAAUGUGAGAAAGGGUUGAGCAUUUUUGUAGGUUUGCCUGUCCGUUGAGGAUGGAGGUCGAUGUAUAUAGGGAUUUCCCAAUAACAAGUAGUAAUGCUAUUCCUUUAUCCUUCUUGGUCACAACAAUGUAGUGGGAGCUGCCAGCUUCACGUGUUUUAACUUUGUCAGAGCACUUUGAAAAAUUGGUAUGUGGUAUCUGGAAAGCUGAUGUUGCGUGUGAAGAUUACAGACAAGCUUUAUCUAAGGAAAUCUGGCUCUCGAAGUUCUGAGAGCUGUGCCUCUUCGGUUUUCGAACAAGCAAUCCCGUCGGGGAUCUAGCUCUCGAGAUUCGGAAAGCGGUGCAGCUUCGGUUUUUGAGAAAGUAAUUAUGUUAGGAGUCUUUUCUCGAAGGUGAGUAAAGGUUGGACGUUCUUGCCAGCCUGUCUUGCCACAGAACACGGAGGUCGACACACAUAGGGGCUUUCCAGUUGUCAAGCAGUGGUGCUGUUCCUUUACCCUUGUGGGUAAUAGUAGGGUAGCUGGAACUUCUAAAUUCUCGUGCCUAAACUUUGUCAGAGAUCUUUGGCAAAGUUAUAUGUGGUACCCGAGGAGUUGAUGGUGCGUGUGGAGAGUGGUGAUUGAACAGUAAGAUUCACGUGCUUUUUAUUUCACCAGAAAUCUUCGACAGAUUGCCCAUAAUUUCCGCAAAGCUGAGUGUGCAUGUGACAGGUGCUGACGAGGCUGAAAAAGCAGGUGCUUCUUCGAUUUCUGAGAUCGGCCCUCGUGGUCUCUGAGCAACUCAGCUUUCGAGAAAGCAAACGCCUCUUCGAUUUCUGAAGCUCUGUCAAGUGUAGAUUUUUAUAGAGGUUGGCAUUAAGUUCCACAUCACACUUGAAUCUCCACCAGUAGAAGCUCCCUUCUUGCACUUCUAAGAUCUUGAUUUGUCUGACCUCUUCCCUCUUCAACACCUUUGAAAAUGUCUAGCUCCUCUGACCGUCGUUUUGACUUGAACCUUGGAGAAGAGACAGCCACGCCUUCUCCAGACAACAUAUGGCGCCCAUCCUUCAUAUCCCCUACUGGUCCUCUUACCGUUGGGGAUUCUGUGAUGAAGAAUGAUAUGACCGCUGCAGUGGUGGCCAAGAACCUUUUCACUCCCAAAGAUAACAUACUACUUUCCAAACGGUCUGAUGAGUUGGCUGUUAAGGAUUCUUUGGCUCUUAGUGUUCAGUGUGCAGGUUCUGUGUCUAAUAUGGCCCAACGCCUAUUUGCUAGAACCCGCCAAGUUGAAUCAUUGGCUGCUGAAGUGAUGAGUUUCAAACAGGAGAUUAGAGGGCUCAAGCAUGAGAAUAAACAGUUGCACCAGCUUGCACAUGACUAUGCUACAAACAUGAAGAGGAAGCUUGACCAGAUGAAGGAAUCUGAUGGUCAGGUUUUACUUGAUCAUCAGCGGUUUGUGGGUUUGUUCUAAAGGCAUUUAUUACCGUCGUCUUCUGAGGCUGUACUGCGUAAUGAAGCUCCAAAUGAUCAACCUCCGAUGCCUCCUCCUUCUGGGGUUCUGUCCAGUACUGAGGCUCCGGAUAACCACCCUUCGGUGCUUUCUCUUUCUGGGGCUCUACCGACUGCUGAGACUUCCCCUGAGCAACCUUUGUGAAGGCUCCCUCUUGUUUGUUUAUUUUGAUUCAUGUAUAUGUACAUAUUUGUAACUUAUCGGAAAUAUCAAUAAACAAGAUUAUCUUCAUUUCAACGUAUUGUGUUAAAUACACCAAGGCAUUCUUCACUAAGUUCUUUGAAUUUUUCCUUUUGUUGAAGCUUGUAUGUUGAAACUUUGUGAGUGAAGCAUGUAGGUUGAGGUAGUGCUCCCUUAAUUUCCCGAGUGAGGAAAACUUCUCGUUUGGAGACUUGAAAAAUCCAAGUCACUGAGUGGUCGUGAGACUUCCGAGUAUCAAGGUGCAGUAGCAUAUGGUAGGAGUCCCCCAAGUCUCUGGUCGAGGGAGUUGACAAAUGAGGCAUUUCCUUUCGAAGUGGUAGCCCAAAACUCCUUCUUCAUAUAUAUUUGUUAUGAAAGUUGUUAGGCCCAAAGAAGAGGAGGCCUAGGCAAAUUUUUUUUUUUUUGAAUUUUCAAAUUUCCGGAUUUUUGAAUUUUCGAAUUUCCGAAAAAUAAAAAAUAAAAAUAAUAUAUAUAUAUUUAAAAGCUUUGUAGGUGAAGCUUUGGUGUUGAAGAUUUGUAGGUGAAGCUUUGAGGUUGAAGCUUUGUUGGGCACCAUGAAUUGAUUUUGCUUCACACUAUCUUGAUGAAGAGUGUGUGAAGCUUUUAUAUGUUUUGGUGUUGAAAUUUUGUAUUGUAGGUGAAACUUUGGGGUUGAAGCUUGAUAGGUGAAGCUUUGGUGUUGAAGCUUUAUAGGUGAAGCUUUGGUGUUGAAAGCUUUAUAGGUGAAAGCUUUGGUGUUGAAGCUUUAUGAAGCUUUAUGUGAAGCUUUGGUGUUGAAGCUUUAUAGGUGAAGCUUUUGUUGGCACCAUAAAUUAAUUUUGCUUCACACUAUCUUGAUGAAGAUAGUGCGAAGUUUUGGAGAUUGAUAUUUGUCCUCCAUUGAUGAAGCUUUUGUUGGCACCAUAAAUUGAUCUUGCUUCACACUAUCUUGAUGAAGAUAGUGCGAAGCUUUUGAGAUUGAUAUUUGUCCUCCAUUGAUGAAGCUUUUGUUGGCACCAUAAAUUGAUUUUGCUUCACAGUAUCUUGAUGAAGAUAGUGCAAAGCUUUUGAGAUUGAUAUUUGUCCUCCAUUGAUGAAGCUUUUGUUGGCACCAUAAAUUGAUCUUGCUUCACACUAUCUUGAUGAAGAUAGUGCGAAGUUUUGGAGAUUGAUAUUUGUCCUCCAUUGAUGAAGCUUUUGUUGGCACCAUAAAUUGAUCUUGCUUCACACUAUCUUGAUGAAGAUAGUGCGAAGCUUUUGAGAUUGAUAUUUGUCCUCCAUUGAUGAAGCUUUUGUUGGCACCAUAAAUUGAUUUUGCUUCACACUAUCUUGAUGAAGAUAGUGCAAAGCUUUUGAGAUUGAUAUUUGUCCUCCAUUGAUGAAGCUUUUGUUGGCACCAUAAAUUGAUUUUGCUUCACACUAUCUUGAUGAAGAUAGUACGAAGCUUUUGAGGAUUGUAGUUGUGUUCCAUUGUUGAAGCUUUGUUUUUCCUUUUUUUUUUUUUUUUUUUUUUUUUUUUUUGGGAAAACUAGAAAUUUGAAAAUGUGGGAGAGACAACAUAUACAAAUUUUGCUUCCAUACUGUUAAGCGAGAGAUUGUGAUGCAAGCCACAUCUUGUAGUAGUCGAAGGUUUGGAUGAACCAUAUAAAUUGAAUUUGCUUCGAACAGUCUUGAUCAAGAGCGUGUGAAGCUUUCUAUGAGUUGUAGUGUUUGCAUUGUUACAGAGGAGAAAUGUCUGAAGCAGAUGCAAGAGGGCUGAAGAGCUUGAUCUUCGUAUACCAUGCACUGAAGCCAUUGUUGGCUUGCAAUAAGACUUUGUUGGUGACUAUAGCUCUUGUUAGGCAUAAGUGCUCCCUUAGUUGAGUUGUAAAGCUUGAUGGUUUUUGAUUAUUUGUGAAUGCUAGGAGUUCACAUGUACAAGUUGUACCACUCGUCUUCUGGUUAGUGGAAUGAAGGGUGGGUUGCUUUCAUCACUUGGUUGGUGGUACGAAUGUGAAUUCCUUAAUCACCUUUCAUCACAUUUCAUCACCUGGUUGGUGACAUGAAGGAGAGUACGCGUUGUACAUUUCAUCACCUGGUUGGUGGCAUGAAGAUGAGUUCCUUCUUCACCUGAUUGGUGAUAAGGGUGGCAAGUUUCCAAAUAAUAUUAGAGUACGGGUUGUACAUUUCAUCACCUAGUUGGUGGUACGAAGGUGAGUUCCUUCAUCACCUAGUUGGUGAGAAUAAGGGCAAGGUGUCGAGGCACAUUGUGGCAAAUGUCGAAUGACACAAAGUGUGUUGAACCCUUUCGAAGCACAGUUGGCUUAUGUAUGGAUGUGUUGGAAUGUAUGAUGUUUAUGCAUGAAUGUGUUGGAAUGUAUGAUGUUUAUGUAUGAAUGUAUUGGAAUGUAUGAUGUUUAUGUAUGAAUGUGUUGGAAUGUAUGAUGUUUAUCCUUUGUAUAGUCUUGUUGACACAUACUUAGAUUUUGUUUUGUAUUAGAAACAUUUGCGUUGAAGCUUCAACACUUGAGUGUUUCAUUGCUCAGAAUGUAAAAGAGUUUAGGGCCGAGUUGGCUAAAUCACCUUUUUAUUGAAUUCAUACCAAAUGGUUUUGUUACAUAGGAUGCCGAACGGCUGUAGCUUAACACUUGUACAAUGUGAGUCUAUUUGUAAUAGUACUUCAAGUCGUCAGCAUUCCAUGGAUGGCCAAAAGUCUUGCUGUCGGAGCUUCUGAGCUUGUAGGAGCCAGGGCGGCUGAUGCUGACGACCUCGAACGGUCCAUCCCAGUUAGGACUGAGUGUUCCUUCAUUCGGGACUCUAUCACAGAGUAAUCUUUUCUUCAGUACCCAGUCUCCACUUUGAAUGAGCGAGGUUUGACCCUUGAGUCGUAGUAGUUGGAGAUGCGCUGCUUGUAGGCGACAUUCCUCAGAUGAGCCUGAUUUCUAUGUUCCUCGACUAGAUCCAGGUUGAGGGUGAGUUGUUUGUCGUUUUCACUCUGCAUGUAGUUCUGGAUUCGGUAUGUUGCUUGCUCAAGCUCAACCGGGACAACUGCUUCUGUACCAAAAGCAAGUGAGAAUGGAGUUUCUCCUGUGGAAGUCCGAUAUGAAGUGCGGUAUGACCAAAGAACUUGGGGUACGAAUUCUGGCCAACAACCUUUAGCUUUGUCCAAGCUAGUUUUCAGAGUGCGCUUGAUUAUUUUGUUAACGGCCUCGACUUGUCUAUUAGACUGGGGAUGGGCUGGAGAGGCAAAACAUAAGUUGAUGUUAAACUUAGAGCAGAACAUCCUGAAGUUCUUGUUAUCGAAUUGUCACCCAUUGUCCGUGACUAUCGCAUUGGGAAUGCCGAAUCUGCAAAGGAUGUUCUUCCAUACGAAGUCUUCUAUUUUUGCCUCAGUAAUGGUUGCCAAGGGUUCUACUUCAGUCCACUUUGUGAAGUAGCCAACUGCAACGAUUGCAUAGCGGACCUUGCCCUUCCCUGCAGGCAUUGGGCCGAUCAAAUCAAGUCCUCAUUGGGCGAAGGGCCAAGGGCUGAUCAUAGGAGUGAGCGGCUCGGGAGGGGAGUGAGGGAUAGUUGCGUAGCGUUGACACUUAUCACAUGAGCGAGAUAUUCUGAUGGCAUCUUGGUGGAGUGUUGGCCAAUAGUAUCAUUGGCGAAAAGUCUUGUGUGCUAGGGAUCGAGACCCAGCAUGAUCUCCGCAGACUCCUUCAUGUAUUUCCCGAAGGACAAUUUCCGCCUCCGCAGGUGUAAGGCAUCUUAGGUAAGGCAGGGUAAAACCUCGCUUGUAGAGUUGGUCAUUAAUGAUCAGGUAGCGAGCAGACUUGUAUCGAAUCUGCUUAGCUUGGACUUUGUCAUUUGGGAGGGUGCCAUGGGCAAGGAAUUUAUAAAUUGGGGUGAUCCAACUAUCUCCUUGUUGUAAAUUGCACACUUCUGCGACCAUGGUGCUUGGUGCUGCCAACAAUUCGACAUGAAUUUUUCUCCCAAUCUUGUCUUCCACUGCCGAGGCGAGGCGGGCCAAAGCGUCUGCAUGACUAUUUGCCGCUCGAGGAACUUGGGUGAUCUGGUAGUGGAAGUGCUUGAGCAAAAGUCGUGUUUGCGCAAGAUAUGUUGCCAUGGAGCUAUCCUUAGCAUCAAAGUUGUUCGUGACUUGGUUGACCACUGAUUGAAAGUCACUGAAGAUAUCAAUUUGUUUAACUCCAAGAUGCUUGGCCAAACGUAAGCCUGCUAGAAGGGCUUCGUAUUCGGCCUCGUUGUUCGAUGCCUUGAAUUUGAAACGAAGAGCGUAUUCUAUCGCCACUUUGUCAGGGGUAGUGAGGACUAAUCCUGCUCCGCAGCCCUGUUGGUUGGAUGAGCUAUCAACAUACAGACUCCAUGCUGGGGUUGUUGAUUUUGUCUUCUGAGCUUCCGAUGGUAAUGAAGCUAUUGCUUCAGGUGUAGAAGCUAUUGCUUCAGGUGUAGAAGCAAUGUCAACAGGAUAUGUGAAGUCGGCGAUGAAAUCUGCUACUGCUUGACCCUUUUCGGCUGGUUUUGGUUGGUAGGAGAUGUCAAACUCACCCAAUGCUAUUGCCCAUUUGAUCAUUCGCCCAUACGUGUCAGGACUCUAGAGUACCUGUCGAAGAGGGUGAUUGGUAAGCACGAUGAUGGCGUGUGCUUGGAAAUAAGGGCGAAGUUUUCCAGCAGACAUGACCAAUGCUAGAGCUAAUUUCUCAAUGUUGGAAUAUCGUGUCUCCGCAUCUUGUAGGGCCUUGCUAGCAUAGUAGACGGGCCGUUCGACACCACUGUCCUUUCGGAUAAGAACAGAACUGACUGCUGAAGCCGAGACCGAUAGAUAGAUAAUGAGAGUGUCACCAACUUCUGGUUUGGAGAGCAGAGGGGCUUUACUCAUGUACUCUUUGAGGUUCCUGAAUGCCUUGGCACAUUCCUCCGUCCAUGUAAUGUACUUCUUAUUUCCCUUGAGUGCUUUGAAGAAAGGAGCACAUCUGUCUGUGGCCUUAGAGAUGAAUCUGGUUAAGGCUGCCACAUUGCCAGUAAGGCUUUGGAUGUCUUUUGAAGUUACUGGCUCUUUCAUGUCGAGGAUUGCUUUGAUCUUUUCGGGGUUAGCUUCAAUGCCUCGUUGGCUAAUCAUGAAGCCUAAGAAUUUGCCAGAUCCCACGCCGAAGGCACAUUUGUUGGGGUUCAACCUCAUUCGAUACCUCUUUAGAAUGGUGAAAGUUUCAGAUAGGUUGGUGAUGUGUUGGUCAGCAUGUUUGCUUUUGACUAGCAUAUCAUCAACGUAAACUUCCAUGCUCUUCCCAAUCUAUUCGGCAAACAUUGAAUUGACCAGUCUCUGAUAAGUUGCUCCUGCAUUCUUUAGGCCGAAAGGCAUGACUUUGUAGCAAUAUAGUCCCUUGUCAGUAGUGAAGGCUGUGUUCUUGGUCUGAGGGGUUCAUGAGGAUUUGGUUGUAUCCUGAAUAAGCGUCCAUGAAGCUCAAGAGCUCACACCCUGCCGUAAAGUUUAUAAGUCUAUCAAUGAGAGGAAGGGGGAAACUAUCAUUCGGGCAUCCUUUGUUUAGGUCGGUGUAGUCGACACACAUUAUCCACAAGACCUUUUGAAGCAGAAGACUUUCUUUGGUCAGAUUUUUCUUAACAAGGACAACAUUUACUACCCAUGUUGGGUAAUUGACUUCACGGACGAAGCCUAUGUCCUUGAGUUUUUCAACUUCUGCUUUCAUCGCCUCGUAUCGUUCAACAUCAUAAGAUCUUCGCUUCUGUUUUACUGGUUUGGUCUUGGGAUCAAUACUCAAGUGGUGACAGAUGAUAUCGGGAGAGAUGCCCGGCAUAUCUUUAUAUGACCAAGCGAAGACCUCGGCGUUCUCUUGCAAAAAGGAGAUCAGCGACAACCGAAGGGGUGGUGACAAAGUGGUGCCAAUCUUCACCAUGCGAUCUGGAUGGUCUUUGGAGAUAGAGACAUUCUCUAACUCUUCAGCGGGUUGUGCUUGCUGGGUGAAUGAGUCAUCUCGAGGGUCGUCGGGUUGACUGUUGCCAUCAUGAAGAUCCGAGUUGGCUUCAUCUGGACUGGUCUUUACUACCUGGUUAUGUAUAGAGAGGGUCUCCUUGAGGACAUGCAGGUGUUGUUGCUUAACUGAAGUGUUGUAACAUGAUCGAGCACUAAGUUGAUCUCCCAUGAUGUAUCCAUUGCCGAAAGGGGUUGGAAACUUCAUCAACAACAUAUGUGUGGAUACCAUGGCCUUGAGAUCAUUGAUGCCUGUGCGCCCAAAGAUGACAUUAUAUGCCGUCGGGCAAUUGACCACUAGGAAGUUAGUGGUAAUAGUAGCUGUGUAGGGGCCUGUACCAAUGGUGAGGGGUAAGUGUAUACUCCCUAAAGGUUGCACGAUAUCGCCAGAGAAGCUUAUCAGAGGAGAAAUCGAGCGAUCGAGCAAGUGUUCAGCUACAUUAAGUGCCUUGAAAGCUUCAGCAAACAUGAUAUUGACUGAAGCACCUGUGUCUAUCAGGAUUCGUUUCACAUCAAAAUUUGCUAUGUGAGCCUCCACGAUCAGCGGGUCGUUGUGAGGGUAGAUGAUACCUCUUUCUUCCUCAGGGUAGAAACAUAUUGGAUCCCAGUUAGGUUUUUGAUACUUGCCUCCCCUGAUGUCUUCCACGUGAAACACUUGAUGGCCAUGUCUCAAAGUUCGUUCACUGUUUUUCAUGGCCCUAUUGGAAGAUUCAGACAUGGGUGUGCCGCCGCUUAUGGAGUAUAUCACAUUCACCUGGCGUUGGUUACGGUUAUCCCUUGGAGGAUGAAGGAGGAACUGAUCAAUUUUUCCUUCACGUGCCAAAGCUUCGAUAUGAUCAUGGAGGAUGAUGCAUUUCUCGCCGUCAUGGCCAUUAUACGUGGUAGCAGCAAAACACGCUCGUGUUCUUCGUGGACUUGUAAUUUGGCUGUCUUGGCUUUGGCUUUGGUAUCAGGUAAGCUAUACUGGGGUAGAUGGCCGCGCAUGUAGCGUUCAAAGGUGUGUAUGUCUCAUACCUCGGGGUAUGGCCUGUCUUGACACGCGAUUGGCCCACUGCGUUGACUGCAUGGGGAUGGGUGUUAUUGUGACGAUAUACUGAGUUAUCGUGAUAGUGCCCCUUAUUCUUUUUAUUAAAAUGAGAUUGGUGAGGAUGGAAAUCUUUCCUUUUGCCCUGGGAUUGAUAUGUCUGCUGACUUGGCGAAGCAUUAAAUGAGGCCGGGGGGUGUGCUGCUACCGUUUGGAAGGUUGAGGUCUUUUCAUUCGGUUGGAUCUGGCCUCCACUCCUACUUGCUGAUAAGGGGUGACUGUAGGGGGUUUCCCUUGAUAUGUCCUUGCCUCGGCAGAGGCAUGGUUGUAAGCUUGUGCCAUCACUUCAGAGUAAGUCUUCCAAGUGUUGGCAUUGAUCAUGUACUUGAAGAAACAGUCACGUAAGCCUGCCGUGAAGGCCUUGAGGGCGGUCUUGUCAUCUGCCUCAGCGCAGCGGGAAUACUCAUGGCUGAAGCGACCAGCAUACUUUCGUAAUGACUCGUCCGGCUUCUGGUGAAUAGUGUACAAGUCAUCUGCGGAAUGCAAGCGAUCGGUCUAGAAGAUGUGUUGAGAGACAAACAACUUCCUCAACUCUUCAAAUGAGUCUACCGUCUCGGGUAGAAGACGACAAUACAGUUUAAAGCUCCGCCAGAAAGGGUGGAGGGGAAGAGAAGGCACCGUUCUUCAUCGGUGUGUCUCCGGUAUACCAUGGUGGACUCAAAGAGGUUAAUGUGUUCAAUCGGGUCUUCCCUUCCAGUAUAGAGUUGUAAGUCAAGCUUCUGCUUUGUCUUCGCUUGGAGGGGGGUGUUGAGGAUCCUUCUUGUGAGGGGGCCAGGCCUGGGUUGGUUCCAGUCAGGUAUCUCGGCUUGACGUUCAGCCUUCAACUUGUUUACUUCCUCCAGGAGCUGUAGGACGAGGGGGUCCUGAGUGGAGUCGUGCAUCACUGGAGUUUUCUUCCGUAAGUCCCCAUCGCCUCUUGGAAGUAGGAAAGUUUGAUCAAGAUAGCAUGAUUUUUCCUUGGACUCGUCACACUGACUCCUAGAGUGAGUAUGUCGGAACAUUUCCGAGUCCCCUGUACCUUCAUGUUCUUCUGGGACUUGUUGCCCAUUCCCUAGAUUAACUGCUGGCCUGGGUCGUGGGAAAGGACCGAGUCUUUCAGAAACUCUUGGGUCAUUGAUCUUCGAGCUUAUGUGGAUGGGAUUCUCUCGACGUUGCUUUAGGAAGUCUCGACAAUCGCGAUAGACAGCUUUUGAUCCUUCCACUCCUUCUGUGAGGAGGUGCUUUCCUCUACUCUUUCUGCUUCGGGUUGAAGCAGCUGGGUUGAGAGAAGUCUCAUGUUGAUUAUCACAUUGAUGUGUAGCUCGAUCCCUAUCAGGGAUGUCCGUGUUGGAUAUUGGUGACCCUCCGUGUUGGGGGGCAUUCAGAUGAUUGUUGACCUCAGCAGGGGCGACGAGCUUGUGUGCUUGAGCAUGCCUAGCCUCGUGAAGCAUCUCGAAAAGUUUUUCAUACUGCUCCUGGAGGACCUCGUUCCUCAUCACUAUCUUGUUGUUCUGAGCUUCUAACUCAUCGACUUUAGCUUGAAGAGUAACUCUAUUUCCUUCCUGCUUUCGUUGCUUCAUACUAGGUCCAAUGGGGGUGUCAUUCUGUGUGCUAUGGCUUCUUUCGCUCCCCAUGUUGGAGAGAGAUGUUUGGCCAAAAGAAAGUGUACGGGCGGUGGAAACCAGCUUAACAAAGCUGAAGAGAGUGGGAGUAAGUGUCUUUCCCACAGACGGCGCCAAAUGUUGAUGCACAAAAUCAGCGAGGACUUUGGUACAACAGAAAGUGUCAGGUUUGUGACCUUCGCUUGGUUGCUUCGAUCACUAGUGAAGAUAAGUACGUAAAUGAAUAGGGACAGGGAAGCAAACACAAGAUGUACGUGGUUCACCCAGAUUGGCUACGUCCACGGAGUAGAGGAGUUCUCAUUAAUUGUGAAGGGUUUACACAAAUACAUAGGUUCAAGCUCUCAUUUUUUGAGUUCUAGUGAAUAGUUUAGUACAAAAUGACAUUAGAGAUUAUUGUGGGAGAAUGAUCCCUAUUUAUAGAAGAAAGUUUCUAGUUUUGUUCUAACAUUGACACGUGUCGUGUUGUGAUUGGCUUCUGAUGUUGACACGUGUCGCGCUGUGAUUGGCUUCUGAUGUCGACACAUGUCGCAUUGUGAUUGGCCUCCUGGUUGAAGGGAAGCUCUUCUGGGUCCUUGACGUAUAACGUUGACCGGUGGUAGAUGGCCGCGCAUGUUGAUGUGGCAUCUUCUUUGGAAGUACUUUUCCUUCAUCCAUGGGUGGUAUCUUUAACCGAUGAAGAUGCACAAGGUAAUGUAUCAAUUUCACUUGAAGCUUACUUAGAAGUUUCGUGAUUACUCAGUGGCUUGGAUCUUGCAAGUCCCCAACCGAGGAGCUUCCCUCACUCGGGAACUUAGGGGAGCACUGUUUGUACCAUACUUGACCAAUCCCGAAAACUACUGAGCACCGGUCAACGUUAUACGUCAAGGACCCAGAAGAGCUUCCCUUCAACCAGGAGACCAAUCACAAUGCGACACGUGUCGACAUCAGAAGCCAAUCACAGCGCGACACGUGUCAACAUCAGAAGCCAAUCACAACACGACACGUGUCAAUGUUAGAACAAAACUAGAAACUUUCUUCUAUAAAUAGGGAUCAUUCUCCCACAAUAAUCUCUAAUGUCAUUUUGUACUAAACUAUUCACUAGAACUCAAAAAAUGAGAGCUUGAACCUAUGUAUUUGUGUAAACCCUUCACAAUUAAUGAGAACUCCUCUACUCCGUGGACGUAGCCGAUCUGAGUGAACCACGUACAUCUUGUGUUUGCUUCCCUGUCCCUAUUCAUUUACGUACUUAUCUUCACUAGUGAUCGAAGCAACCAAGCGAAGGUCACAAACCUGACACUUUAUGUUGUACCAAAGUCCUCGCUGAUUUUGUGCAUCAACACAAUGUAUGAGAGAAGGAAAUGAAAGAUGAUGUGAAUAAGAGGGGAGAAAAUUCUACUCAUGCUAAAAACAAAAAAUAAUGAUCGACUCUGUAGAUAUUGGCCAAACCAAACAUUAGAUGUGAAAAAUUAGCACUUUGCCGAAUAAUAUUCCGAGUGAGCAAAAUAGAGAAAAAUAUAACAAUGGCACACAGAAAAAAUAUAAAAGUUGAGGAGCCGGGUGAUAUAAUAUUAGACAUUGCAAUUGUAGGCUCGGACGACUCAAGGAGAAAAAGGUUGCUUGCACCACUAUAGGAAAAUUACAAAUCAACAAUGCAGAGGUAACGUGCAUGGUCUUCUCUUCUGCCAUGAAAAAUUCAUGUUGCUUUCAUAUAAUUAACUAAUUAACUAGUUAUUAGUGUUAAUUAUUCUCUAACAUUUCCUUCCUCCAUUGUUUUCUUCUUCUUCAGAUCAAAGUUUCAAUAGUUUUUUUUUAUUUUUUAAAUUCCUUUUACUUUAACAAUAUUAGCGAUUCCAAUUCUACUAGCUAGUUUUAGGUUGUAUUUUAAUUGGCUCGUGUGCUUCUGUUGCAGGACGUGUUUGGGGAAAAAGGAAGGAUACUUGAACAGGCAGGAGCUGUAGCAAAGGUAGCCUCUAUGAAAAAACAUAAUGAACUCUUUGUAACGAAACAACUUCGUUUGACUCGUUUCAUUUAAAUUUUUUGUUUUUCUCAGGUGCAAAGCGACGUGGUUUUGUUAAAAAAAAAAAAAAAACUAAAACGGAGCAACGCCCCACUGCAGAAAACCAAAAUGCAGCACCGCAGCACCAGAGCAGAGGGGUGGAAACCUGGAUUUUGGGAACGAACUCCGGCGACCGAAGGUGCGAACACACCUCCUUGAACCUCUGUGGCUUCGCCAAUGAAGGUCUCGAUAUUAUUUAUGAGGAGUUCAUGAUAAUUACUUUAAAGUGUUAAUAACAAUCCUCUUUCUUAUUCUUAUGCUAGUAGGUCUGGUACUUCCUACAAUCUUAAAAUAUGCAUAAAUUCACUCAUAUAGAAUGGGAAAAUGCCAUACGUUACCAUUUGGAAAUUGGCGAGACAUGAAAAAGUCCUUGAACCUCGCUCCCCCCCGCAAGGCAGGCUUAAACUCGCCCGUGAUGAGAAGACAUGUCUUUUGUGAAUGACAGGAAAUAGGACAAAACCAUCCCUUCUCUUUUUUGUUAGUAAAAGCAUCCCAUGCUUUCUAUCUCUUCAUUCCACUGACUAUUUCGAACACAAAACAUCAAUACAAGUAUUAGUAAAAUGAAAACUUCUUUCUUUUAUUCAAUAAUUAUUAUGGGUUGUGUUUAUUGAUCAACCUGUAAGUAGAUAAAACACUAAUAAUACAAUUAGUUAGGUAAAAAAAAUCAGUUUUUUUUUCAAGUUUCUCAACUAACCGGGACCUAAGUAUUCCCUUGGCGUUCUUACACCAACAAAGAAACAACAACGAAACACACAGGAACACAAAAAUUGGGGACCUCUUUUUAUCUACUUGCCCACCAUCACAAAUAUUACCUUUUUUUUCUUGUAUGGUUUGGUGGUAGGGAACGAAACCUAGCUACAUUCACUUCUUCUGAUUUGCAGUUGACUCUGGUUUUUACAUGAGUAUAUACUGAAGCUCGAUGGACCCCAGGCUAUAUAAUAUUCGAAAAUAGUCAUUCCUUAUUUGUCCGUCAAUCACAAUAUAUAUAAUCAAUUUGAUGAGUAAUUUUGCGUACAUGUAAAGUGUACGUACAAUCCUACAGAGAAUAUUUACAUUAGUUAUAAGGCCUCAGCAUUUGAUAUAACUAAAAGGCAACCUGUAUCAACUCAUUCUUCGAGUCAAGAAUAUCUGAGCUUCUUAGAGGGGGAAUAUAGGCUCUAAAACCAUGUCUUGGUUUUUUACAGUUCUCUUUCUUGUUACUGCUCUUACAUUUCAUACUCCUUCAGAGGCUAGCCAUGAGAAGAACGAUCCUUCUGCAGUUGUUGUAGGCACUGUCUACUGUGACACAUGUUUCCAAGAGGAUUUCUCACAUACCAGCCAUUUCAUUUCAGGUAAAUUCAUCUCAAAAUUUCAACAAGUUCUUCAUCAAAUUUAUUUUUAUAUUGUAGUCUGACUAUAAAAUAGACGUCCGUUCAAUGAUUUCCGUACACCUUCUCCUCCAUACACUCAUGUUUAUUUUGUAAUCUUUAAAUUCAAAUGAAUCAAAGAAAAUCAAAAGAAAGGAAUAAAAAGGGUACAAAAUGAAAAAAAAGAAAGUAAAAUCCAAGAAAAUGACUGAAAACCUAUAUGUAAGUAUUUCCUAUAUAUGAGUCAACUAUACAACUACGAAAAGUAUAUAACAAAUCAAUUUCAAAAAAAUCUCGCCUAACUCCUUGGCGGUAAGACUCUGCAUUCAAUCACGAUUUCUUUCCAACAGACAACGAGUGGUAGGGAUAUUAUUUCUCUUGAAGAAAAGUUGGAGGAUAUGUCAUUUGUAUGUGUUGAUAUCAUUGUCGCCAAGUAUGCAUGUCAUCAGUAACUUUAAAUGAUUUAUCCCCAUACAAAGUAUAAUAGUUGAUCUAAAUGAUUUAUCCCCAUACAAAGUAUAAUAGUUGGUCUAAACCCUAAUUCCAUAAAGGACCAUACUGUUUAAAUGAAAUAAUUGCUCGGUUCCAUUUUACCCCUACAUUUUCUGCUUUUGUUUCGUUGCAAGAGUUUAACUUGUUAUUUGGAAUAUAUUGUUCACAGAAAGCACUUGUUCAGCAAUUUUUGGCUACUGAAGAUGCACUGAACAAAGCUGCAGAAGCGAGGGAUCUAUGUCAAAAACUUAUAAAACGCUUGCAUGGCAAUAGUGAUGUAAUUUCUUCAGGAACAUCACAAAAUGUGGGCAGUCUUAGGCAACUUGAGGUAAAUCUUCCUUGCAUAUUAAAAGUAUUAACUACCAAUAGUUUGGGUGGAAAUAGCACCAUGGGUGACAGGUUUGAUUAGUUUCAGUCUUUUGAUCGUUUCCAUAGUUGUAUACUGUAUACUAGGUUACUUUUAGCCUGCACUGUGUUCUCAUCUGAUUUUUUACAGUCUUCCAUUUGCUUUGUGUAGAUGGAGGUUUGGGCUAAGGAAAGAGAAGUUGCUGGCUUGAGGGCUAGCUUGAAUACACUGAUGUCUGAAAUACAACGCUUAAAUAAAUUAUGUGCGGAAAGGAAAGAAGCUGAAGAUUCUUUGAAAAAGAAGUGGAAGAAGAUUGAAGAAUUUGAUUACCGCAGAUCAGAACUUGAAAUCAUAUAUACCACAUUACUAAAAGUUAACAUGGUAAGGAUCUCAGCUUCAAUAGUGCUUAUAAAUUUACUAGUCACUUCAUAUACUGGCAUUGUAUAAGCCAUGUCUGGUCAUUCCAUGAAGUGUCGGCUCCUUUUCUUUAAGUUCCAGGCAAAAGUUCAUAUAUAUAAUAUAAAAUUCAAGACAAAUUUUCUAGCAGCCCAACGAGUAGAUGGACUCUUUUUUUUUUUUAAAUGAAAUCCACGGUCUCCUCUUUAGAUGCCCAAAGACCCUAUUUAUGGUUAUAGGUCUGGGGUUAACUCACCAGGAGACUUCAAUUUCCCUGGAACUUAUGCAAAUGAUAUCACCAAUUGCAUAGUUUUCAUUUGUUAUUCGUAUCAUAUGGUAGAAUAUUUCAAUAGAGGCAGCUAGGAUAAUGCUUAUCCAUCUCUUUGUCUUCUGUCGGGAAUAUUUUCUAAUGUUAUUUUUGUCUUGGUACAUGGUAGGAUGCUGCUGCCUUCUGGAAUCAGCAGCCAUUAGCCGCACGGGAGUAUGCAUCAAGCACAAUUAUUCCUGCAUGCACAGUAGUCAUGGAUCUUUCAAAUAGUGAAAAACAUCUUAUUGAAAGAGAAGUUUCUGCUUUUGACCAAAGUCCUGAUAAUAGCCUCUACAUGAUUCCAGCAAUUCCACAGGUUUGUGUUGGGGCUUAAAAAGACUUCACUACUUUGGAGAUGUUUAUCUCAUAAAGAAGAAUGUAACGCAGCGGAAUUGAUAGCCAAGAAAAAAGAAAGAACACUCAGAGUAUUACACAAAAUUUUUAUUCUCACACAAACUUAGUACAAGAGGAAACACUCAAACACUCUUACACUUCUUCACUCUUUUUCUCGCUUCUUGCUUUCUUACUGACUCUCACUUCUUCUUGCUUCUUUGUUACACAACACCACACACCUAUUUAAAGGUGGUGUUCCCCGACUAUCCUUGUUACCACCGACUUGAGCAUUGCAGCAAUGACCACAUGAUUUGCCGCCUCUAGAUCUUUCUUUAACUUGGAUAUUUUAGGUGAUAACCAUUUGAAAUUGCUGAAAUUUUCCAGCUAUAUUAUCGACAUAGAUUGCUAGCAUUUGCACACAUUUGCUUUGGGUUAGAUCACUUGUCUUGGGCCAAAGACAAGAUUACCUUUUAACAUCCUCCCUUAAUCUUGUCUUGUGACGCCGAUUGAGUUCCUCAGUCUAACAAAGUCUUCUUGUUUGAGUGGCUUGAUGAAUAUGUCAGCGACUUGGUCUUGAGACUUCACGGAUUCCACUUGCACAUCCUUUCUUGCAAUGCACUCUCUUAUGUAGUGAUAACGAGUAUCUAUGUGCUUGCUCCUGUCAUGGAACACCAGAUUCUUUGCUAGAGCUAUUACAGACUUGUUGUCGACAUUGAUCUCUGUUGGCUCUUCUUGUGGCCUGCUUAAUUCUUUCAGCACGUUUCUCAGCCAAAUUGCAUGACAGAUACAUGCGGUAGCAGCUAUAUAUUCAACUUCACAGGCAGACAGUGUGACAAUUGGUUGCUUCUUCAACAUCCAUGUGAAUGCAGUGUCUCCCAUGAAGAACACAAAUCCAGUAAUGUUUUUUCUAUCGUCGGAAUCUCCUGCCGAAUCACUGUCGCUAUAUCCAACAAGCUUGUAGUUAUUAGAGCUUGAAUAGAACAAGCCAAAGUUAAUAGUACCUUUAAGGUAUCAAAGAAUUCUUUUGGCGGUCUUCAAAUGUGUACUUAUGGGAUUCUCCAUGUAUCGACUAACUAAUCUGACGACAUAGAGAAUAUCUGGUCUUGUGCAAGCCAAUAGUGCAAGCUUCUAACUAGACUUUUGAAAAAUGUUGGAUCUACGCUUUCUCCUUUGUCAUGCUUGGUUAGUUUGACUCCGCACUUCAUUGGCGUGCUUAUGGGCUUGCAGUCUUCCAUUUUGAACUUUUUCAAUACCUCAUUUUGUAGCUUUCUUGGGAGAUGAAAAUGCCUUCUUCGUUUUGCUUAACUUCAAUGCCUAGGUAGUAUGUCAUCAGCCCGAUGUCGGUUAUCUCGAAUUCUUUGGUCAUCACUCUCUUGAACUCUUCAAACAUACUUGGAUUACUCACGGUGAAGAUUAGAUCAUCCACAUAUAAGCACACAAUCAAAAUGUCUCCAUCUUUGACUUUGAGAGCAUGUUCAUGAGGGCACUUGAUGAAGUUGUUCUCCUGAAAGUACUUGUCGAUGUGACUAUUCCAUGCUCGUGGCAUUUAUUUUAACCCAUAGAGGACUUUCUUCAACUUCAGAACUUUGUCUUCAUGCCCUUUGAUUUCAUAACCUGAUGGUUGCUGAAUGUAGACUUCUUCUUCAAGGACUCCAUUUAGGAAAGCGGACUUCACAACCAUUUGUUGAAUCUUCCAUUUGUUUUGAGCUGCCAAAGAAAUUAGUAAUUGUAUCGUUUCCUAAUGAGCAACGGGUGUAAAUACUUCAUUAUAAUCGAUUCUGGCUGUUUGACUAUAACAUUUCGCCACUAGUCUCGCCUUGUGUCUUUCGACCUCUCCAUUGGCAUUUUUCUUUGUUUUGUACACCCACUUGACUCCGAUGGCUUUAUGUCAUUUCGGAAGAAUAGUGAGUUCCCAUGUAUCAUUUUUUUGAAUUGCUUUGAUUUCUUCAUCCAUUGCUUUCCUCCAUUUAGUAUCCUGCACUGCUUCUUAGAAGUUGACUAGUUCACAAUCAGCAAAGAGACAGAAAAAUGUAGGAUUAUCAAGUCUUUUAGCCACCUCAUAGAGAUCUUGUAGACUUCUUGUGUGUGGUACUUCUGUUUCAUUUAGACUCCCACUUGACGAUGCUGAUGCUGGUAAAUUGCCAUGAUUGGUUGAUGUUGGUGAAGCAGGUAGAGUAGUGGAUUCUUGUUGAUCUUCUCUUGCUUGCUCCAUUAUUGUUUGUUCAUUAUCUUCUUCAAAUUGAGGAAAGAAGUGAAGAUCACCUGCAUGCAAGCCAAAAUCCCAUUCUCUUUCUUUAUUGAACGUCACUUCUCGACUAAUCACCGUCUUCCCAUUGUUCGAAGUAUACAGUUUAUAGCCUUUUGAAUUUGUGUCAUAGUUGAUGAAGAUGAACUUCUCACUUUUGUCGUCAAGUUUGGUGCUCCUCUUGUCUGGUACAUGUACAUGGGCUAUGCUUCCAAAAACUGUUAGAUGAAAGAUACCUGGCUUUCUUCCACUCCAUGCUUCUUGCGGAGUCCUUCCCUACACACUCUUUGUUGGAGACCGAUUGGAUAGGUAGACAACAUAUGUUACAGCUUCUGCCCACAAUUCCUUAGGCAAUCUCUAGCUUUUGAGCGUGCUUCGAGCCAUGUCGAGGGAUAGUUCGAUCUUUUCUUUCCGCCACACUAUUUUGUUGAGGGGAUCUUGGAACUAUCAAAGGUCAACGAAUUCCAUUUGCUUCACAAAACUCUUGAAAUUCAUUCGAAGUGAAUUCUCCUUCUCGAUCAGAUCUCAUGGCUUUGAUCUUGCAACCACUCUACUUUUCUACAACGGCUUUGAACUUCUUGAAUGCUCCAAAGACUUCUGAUUUCUGCUUCAAGAAAUACACCCAGGUUUUCCUUGAAAAAUCAUCAAUGAAGAGAAGGAAAUAAUUAUUUUUAGCCCAUGGAACACAAAAUUAUAACUUUUUGGACAACAAUACCCUUCUCUUUUUCAUUAAUUUCACUUCGAAAAUUAAACAAAAUUAAUCAAAAUUCCAGAGAUCUCUCAAUUUCUGCACAAUUAGCAUAAAAUAUUCAUUAAAAAUCAAAAUUUACCUCAACAAAUCAACUCAAAAACUAAGUUCUCUUGUUUUUCCAGGAAAUCAAGCUUAUUUGAUCGCACUUCAAAUUUUUUGGGAAACUGAGUGACAAAAACCCAACAAAAAGAAAUUUUCUCUAUGUUUGAUUUCUAUAUUCAAAGAAGAAAAACAGCAAAAUGAAGAAAAUCCAGAUCAGAUAAAGCAUUCUUGAGAAAGCCAAAGAGAGGAAAUUUUCUGGGGAAACAAACAUGAAGAACAGAAGGGUACCGGGGAAAGCCGAUGAAAGGAAGUGGCUGAUGCCGUCGCUCGAGGGAUGGGACAGCGAGGAUUAGGUGGAAGAUGUGAGGGAUGACGUUGAACUCGUAGGCGGUGGCUCAGGUAAGGUCGAACUCGUCGGAGUGGAUGGGUACGAUUGUCAUUUAAUCUUUCGUUCCAUUUCAGCUUGAACAUACACCAAAUGUAGCAUGGAACCUCCGUUCCGUCCUGUUUCGUCCAGUCUGUGUACUAAACGGUACCUUAUUGAAUGAAAGGAAAAGGCUUCUGCUUGGCUUAAUACCACUUUAGUCCAAUUGUCUUCUUGUUCUAGAAAUUGACAACUCUAUGUGAUGAAAAAACAUCUCAUGCUUAUUGUACGGAUGAAAAGUGCUGCUUUACACUAUUACAUUUAAAGUGAUUAGAAAUUCCGUGAAAAUUUAUAUUAUCUCAUUGCAUUGAUGAACGGGUGAGAUAUAGAGAAACAAAAUUUUAUACUUUCAUCUACUACAUUGAUGCUUAGGCGCACCGAAAGUCACCCAAAACCCUAAAAUUCUCCUCAUGAAUUAUGUGUCUAAUAUUUUUCAGAAGUUGUUAUCAGCACUUGCAAACAGUUUUUUAUGCAUGUCGGUCUGGAAGUUAUCUAUGAGGGGUCAUGAUAAUUAUUUUAAAAUGUUAGUAACAGUUAUCUUUUCUUAUUCUCGGUAGGCGGCUACCUCCCCCACACAGCAGCCCUAAACUCGCCCGUGAUGAGAAGACAUGACAUGUCUUUUGCGAAUGACAGGGAAUUGGACAAAACCAUCCCAUCUUUGUUUCAAUAAUUAUUAUGAAUUAUCGUAUACCGAUUAAUCUGUAAGCAGAUGAGAUAGCUACUCAUUUUCACCAUAAAAGGAAAACAUUUCAUCACAAGAUUGCAGUGCGGACAGAGAGGGUUGUGGUUGUCGUAGAUAAACCUAGGUUUCGUCACAAAACAGGAAAUUGAAUUAAGAACAAAACAAACAGAUUGUGGGUAGGAAAAGACAGAUUUUUUAGUGUGUUGAGAACACUGUUUGGUACACCAAGUAUAAUAAUACAAUUGGUUGGAAACUUGUUAAAAAAAAAAAUUUCCAACUAUUUAUAUCAUAUGGUGUAUUAGACCGUGUUCCCGAUAUCAACGAGAUUUGGAUGUCAUGCAUACAAAUAAAGCCCCUUAUUACUGUCACAUUAUUAUGUCUUGAUAAGAUCUUUAUUUAUUCCCUGCAAGUACCAUAUGAGAAAUGCUAAAGAGACUCUCUAUGGAUUCUCUGUUUGUCACUUCAUGUUUUUGACAUAAUAUUUUAUAAUGUUAGCACCAUAAUUGACUGUAAACUGUAAGGUAAUAUAGAGUAUAUGAAGAGUUCCACUUUAAGAGUGUCUCCUUAGCAUUUCUCAUACCAUAUUCUGACACCAUAGAAAGUAGCCAUUUUUUAUUGUAAGUUUUAGUUUUCACACGUAUUUAUGUUAUGCGAGACAACCGCAAAUAAAUCUUUUUGUAUAUACAACUUUUAUCAAGUUUAAGAGUUAUAAUUAAGAUAUUCCCGGUUGUAUAUAUUUAUAUGUUUUUAGUCAGUAUAAUUGGAGCUCAUCAUUAGUGUGUACGUGAUAGAUAUCCUCGGUUACACGGCAGAAUCUCACAGGAAUGUCAUAGCCAAUAAACUAGGCUCCUAUGCAUCAAUUUUUUAUGUGUGAAGAGAAAACACGAAUAAAUACAUGCAACAAUCUAUUGUUGCUGAUUGUGUACAACUUCAGACUCAUGAAAUUUGUAGCCACUCUACAUAUCUCGUGUGUAAAGUGGUACAUCAAAUGUGUCGAACUUGAUACAUCAAGUGUCAUAAUGCAAUUAAUUAAAAAACAAGAUUUCAAAUCUUUAUUUUCAAGUUUCACAUCUAACAGGGACCCAAUUAUUCUCUUUGGGACUUUUACAGCAACAAAGAAACAACCUCAAUCUACUUGCCCACCAUCCCAUACCUUUUUUUUUUCUUGUCUGGUUUGGUGGUAGGGAAUGAAACUUAUCUACGUUCACUUCUUCUGGUUUGCAGUUGACUGGUUUUUCCAUUAGUGUAAAAACGAAGCUUCAUGGACUGAUGCAGUACAUGGGGAACAAAUAUAUUUAAGGUUUUAGUGACUUCUUAUCUCUUAAAAGCCUUUGUGACCUUUCUUUUAAUUGAAUUGCCUAGUAACUAUCCUACUCUUAAAUAUUUAGUAUACCAAUGUUUGUAAUUUCCCUAUUUAAAGGGCUCCAUAUGUAUCCUUAAAGUGGUGAAAUUAGUGAAUUAAAGUUAAUCUAAGAAGAGAGUGGGCUUUCUCCUCAAAAUCAAGUGUGAGAUUUGGUUGUGUCGAGUGAAUCCACGAUUAGUGACGUGAGUGAAUCCGUUGCCCCUGGUCGAGUGAUUCCCAGGUUCUAUCCCUGUAGAGACGUGAGUGAUUCCGUCCCCCCUAGUUGAGCGAUUCCCAGGUUACUACCCCUUGUCUUUUCGAGACCCAUGGUUUUUUCUGCAUCAAGUGGCAUCAAAUAGAGAUGGCAAUUCAAACCGUUAAACUCGAUAACCGUGUAUAACCGCCUGAGAGAGGAUUUGGGUAUGAAAAUUUGGGUAUAUUAUGGAAAUGGGGAAAAAACGUGAACUUUAAUCGGUUAUGGUUUUGUAUAUGAUUAUAAGGGUCCCCAAUCCAUAUCCGUCCCCAAAUCCGAAUCCGAACCGAAUAAUAUAUAAUAUUAUUUGGUUUAUGUAAUAUAUAUAUAUAUAUAUUGUAUUUGAGUGAAGCUAUACCAUCAUUACCAUAUUCAUUAUUCGCUGCAUAAUGUAUUUAGUAUAUUAUUCGCCGCAUAAUGUAUUACAAAAUUCAUUUAUUGUUAUUGUGGAGCCAAAAAUAAUCAUAGGGCAACACAUGGAUUUUGGUAAAAAGGACAAAGUUACUCCUGAGACACACCGGUUCUCCUACGCCUGAGCAGUGGACAGUCAUUCUUUAAUCAAGCCAAGAGUGUCCAAAAAAGGUAACCAAUUCCAAAUUAUCUCAUCCAUCCUCAUCUUAGGUAAUUACUUCAUAACCUACAAAUUAUUCCAUAUACAUAGAGAUUAAUUGGCUAAUUAAUGGAUUAAUUCCUAAUUAAUCCAUUAAUCACCAAUUAAAUCACCCAUUUUCACACCUAAAACCUCUAAGGCCCGGCCACCUCCAUUCCCUAUAUAUAUGACCCUAUUUUUUCUAAAAAAAGGGUUCCACACUCUUGCAAAACUCCCAAAAACUCUCCAAAAACUUUUAUCUCUAAAUUCUAACUUUGGCAUCGGAGGUUCUUCGGCCAAAGCCUCCCAUUCAUUGUGGGCGGGUGAGGCUCUUGGCCUUGACCUAAGGUGUUAAUUGUUUUGUAGGUUCAAUUUUGUCAGGUGCAAUUUUGUCCAAGAAGAAGAAGGCGGAAAUUUGCAUUCAUAAAUUGGUGUUUUCAUUGAGAGAUGAGUACCACACUCGUAGAAGACUCUCGCAUCCAAGGUUUUCUAUUUUCUUGUCCAUUUGUAGAUUUUUCGUACGUUCUUAUUAUUAGAAUUUUUUAUUUGCAAAAAUUCUUUGAUAAAACGUAAAAGAGAAGUACAAUGGCUAGAAAUUUAAAAAAUUCAACAAAUGAAAAUUUCAACAUUUAAGAGAUGGGACCACGGCGAUUCACGAGGCUAAAUGUGACAAUAAGUGGAGCAGCACCACAACCACAAGUUUCCUCCAUGGGAACCACCGUGGUGGCUGCCUCGGUAGCCACUCGCGGUGAGGUCCAUGGCACCAUUACCGCGGCGAGGUCUAUGGCACCAUUACCACGGCCUGAGUCGUGCCAUUAAAGCAAUCCCAAUACAUGUCACUUCAAGCCCAAUGUGUUGCCAAGCCGAGCCCUAGCCUCGCACCCACAUACGCCACACGCCGAGCAGCCUACUCACGUGGCCCAGCCUGCCCCCAUGGCCGAGCCUGCUCCCGCCGAGUAGCCUACUCCUGUGGCACAACAUGCUCUAUCUAAGCAGCCCAUUCUCGUGGCACAGCCUGCUCCCUUUGAGCAUCUCAUUCUCGUGGCCCAACCUGCUCUCGCAGCUCUGCUUGCUCCCAUAACCCUGCCUGCUCCCAUGAUUUCCCAAGCAGCCCAAGUCGGCUCGAGAAUAUCUCGACCAUCCAGAGCAACCAUCAAGCCGGGGGCAUUUUUACCAUAUUUCUCCACAGAUUUGACAUUUCCCAACUCAAAUCUCAUGCCUAGAGUGUUCCAUACUUCCACUGCUUAAUGAGGCACAUUCUUUCUAAGCUCUUCCAAUCUAAAUGGCGAACAACACUUGUCUCGACAAGUCAUAAAGUUGACGAGCUCCCUUGCACAACAGACGACCUUGAUGAAUCAACUUUUGCAAUGCACCGAGAUCUAACGUGCCUUGGACAAGGUAUCCCUAAGUAGGACAAGGGUAGACGAAUCUUUCCAGCAGCAUCCCGGUAAGCAGCUACUCGACCAGCCACGAGCCGAGCGUUCGGGUAGUGUACAUUUCUGAUUAGGCCCCCAAGAUAGCAUAUACUUCCAUCUUAUAGCACGGAGGAGCGUGCACUCUCGACUAGGCCUGAGGAUAAGUAUACACUCACGAUUGGGGCUACACUUAGAUAAUCAACAUGAGCAGCCUUCCAGGCAAUGCAUUCAUUCGCAGCUAGGCCCGUAAAGAAUAUCAUCCACAUCAUAUCGGAGCAGACAACACAGCAGACGGAAAGAAGCAGUCACUCAAUCCGGCUCAAGUUCAACCAGUAGCCUGUGAGUUACACACUCGCCUGCUAGGAAUAUACCACACCCACCGUAGCCGCGGCAUAGACAAGCCGAACAUAUGGAAGAACAGCUUAGACUAUCACAUCACGAUCAGGGGCAAUCAAGAGCUCUGCCACCCCAACAAAGGAAAAUUCAGGAAGAAGUAGAAAGGCUCCUGACCAAGCGAUUGCGCAAUUUCUCGCGCCAACCAAAGCCUCAAAAGGGCACAAGAUGAAACACCUAAUGAUGGCGCAAUAAUUCAGAGAGCAGCUCAUUGCGUUUACACCUUAACGUGGGUUCCACAAACAGUUCACCAAACAAGACCUCGCAGUCUGAAGAUUAUUUCAGUUGUCUAGCAGUCCAGCUUUCCUCAGCUGCACUCACGACAACGACUUCCAUGAUUUCCAGUGCGAAAGGAUAAACUAAUUGCUCUCCAGUGCGAGAGGGUAAACCAAUUCCCCGACACCCAUAUGGGUUUGCUCUCCAAUGCAAGAAGAUAAACUAAUUGCUCUCCAGUGCGAGAAGGUAAACCAAUUCCUUGACACUCGUAUGGGUUUGCUCUCCAGUGCGAGAGGAUAAACUAAUUGCUCUCCAGUGUGAGAGGGUAAACCAAUUCCUUGACAUUCAUAUAUGUUUGCUUUCCUGUGCGAGAGGAUAAACUAAUUGCUCUCCAGUGCAAGAGGGUAAACUAAUUGCUCUCUAAUGCGAUAGGGUAAACUAAAUCCCUGACAGCCAUUUGGGUAAGCUCUCCAGUGCGAGAAGGCUGCAUAGUUUAAAAGAUCAAAUGCUUGAAGAUCAACUAAGCAACAAAUGGUUAGGGGGCAGCAGCCACUUUUACACUUAAUAGUUCGCUCAUCCGACACUUCAUUUUCAGAAACUCUGAUCUUGGCAGCUUUAUCCUUGACUGCUCCAUCUAUGGCAGUUGAAAAAUCAAACUUAAGCAGUUUCCUCAUAUUUAGCAGGCAGCCCAAACAAUUGCCUAUUCCACGCCACUUCCUCGGCCCAUGUCGAACCAAUCAUUGGCUUCAAUCCAGCCGAGUUGCUCAAGCAAUGGCCCCUGCCACAUCACCUCCUUGGCUCAUGCUAAGCCGACUCUUGGCCCCUGCCAGCUGAUGUGUCGUACCACCCUGAUUACUGCCCUGUGGCAGCACCACCCAAGAAGAAGACAAGAAGAAAUUAAGUUUUUAUUACAUUGGUGCGGCAUAGAGAAGACGAAGAAAGCAACAAAAGACGGUCAUUUGCAUGGGCAAGAUGUAGAAGAUUGCUAAAUGAGGGGGAACAAAUAUCCUCUAAACUCUCUCUCUCUCUUGUAAGGUAGAAUAAAUCACUCUCCAAAGUUGAUUUAAUAACCCACUUAAGGUGGACUUAAAUAGGUUUUGAGAGAAAUUUAUUUCCCUUUCCUAGAAUGAUCUAAUUUCAUAUUAAAGAGGGAUUCUACAUCAAAACAGGAAGCGGUUCUAAGUUUCCUAGAGCAAAAAGAUCUUUACACCUGCUGCCCUUUCUUACGAGUAGCCCAACAGGUGUGGGGGCAUUUGUGGAGCAAAAAAUUAUCACAAGGCAACACGUGGAUUUUUGGUAAAAAGGACAAAGUUACCCCUGAGACACACCGGUUAUCCUACGCGCAAGCAGUGGACAAUCAUUCUUUAAUCAAGCCAAGAGUGUCCAAAAAGGGUAACCAAUUCCAAAUUAUCUCAUCCAUCCUCAUCAUAGGUAAUUACUUCAUAACCUACAAAUUAUUCCAUAUAAAUGGAGAUUAAUUGGCUAAUUAAUGGAUUAAUUCCUAAUUAAUCCAUUAAUCACCAAUUAAAUCACCCAUUUUCACACAAAAAACCUUUAAGGGCCGGCCACCACCAUUCCCUAUAUAUAUGACCCUAUUUUUUUUCUAAAAAAGGGGUUCCACACUCUUGCAAAACUCCCAAAAACUCUCCAAAUACUUUUCUCUCUAAAUUCUAACUUUGGUAUCGGAGGUUCUUCGGCCAAAGCCCCCCCCAUUCAUCGUGGGCGUGUGAGGCCCUUGGCCUUGACCUAAGGUGUUAAUUGUUUUGUAGGUGCAAUUUUGUCCAAUAAGAAAAAGGUGGAAAUUUGCAUCCACAUUUAUGUUUUAUUUAUUUAUUAUUAAACGUGGCUAUUUAAUGACAAAAUUAGUAUUCACUAAAUUAUUGUGCGCCAAUUGGAUGAAUAUAAUUUUUUGUUGUUGACGAAGAUGGAUAUAACCAUUAAUUGAUAGGAAAUCCGUUACCCGGUGGGUAUGGUUAUGGAUAAUUCCCGAUAGUUAUUUUGCAGUUAUGGAUAUGGUUAAUUAUCAUGGUUAUGGAAUAGAUAUAAGAUUUCCGUCCCCAAAUUGAACCGUUGCCAUCCCUAGCAUCAGUGCAGGUUUUCUGCUAUGGAGUUAAAAGGAAAAAAAAAAUCAUGUUGUUGAUUCUACACUUCUCUUCAAAUUUCAGUUCUCUUUGUCCUAAUCACCCAAAAGGUUACCUAUAAUUGGAAAGGUCUGCGAGUCCACUUUCUAACAGAACAGACAGUGCCUCAAUCAAAAUUUUUUUUGCAGCAAUUUGCUAGCAAAUAGUGUAAGGUGUAUGUUUUGUGCAAAAUCUGCAAGGCGCAGUUUCGUUUUCAACGAAGAGAUAUACCAGCAUCUUGUUCCAAUGAAUAAUAAUCAGGUAUAUGAAAACCACUCUAGUAUGAUAUUUAUCGAGGAAGAUCUGUUUUAUUCACAAAGAAUUGAUUGGAAUUUACCUCCACUAUAUGAUGAGUAUUCGGAGGAUGGUGUUUUGAUGAUUCCUAUCCAAACAGGUGCUAACGUUGAAGUGAAUGUUGAAGAACAUGCUUUGAUAGAUAUUUGCAGCUUGGAAAGUUCAGAAUAUGAAGGAUUUGGAUUUUUUCAAGAUGAGAAGAUUGAUAGUCCAAUGUUAAGUUCAUCAAUAAGCUACGGGCAUGUAAAAUUGUGGUCACGGCCAAGUGAUGAAGGAGCUGUUCAAAUUUGCUUUUUAAUUCUCCAGCACAUUGUUAAAGAUCAAGUUUUGGGGACAUUACAACCGAUGGCAUAUCGUUGGGAAGGUCGAAAACCUAAAUUCAAAUUAAGAUUAAAAAGAUACAAACUCGAGGACGAGUUUUUUUCGAGAAGAGUAGAAUCAUGCAGUGCAUGGGGAACAAAUAUAUUUAAGGCUUUAGUGACUUGUCAUCUCUCAAAACCUUUGUGACCUUAUCUUUUGAUUGAAUUGCCUAGUAACUAUCCUACUAUUAAAUAUUUUGUAUACCAAUGCUUUGUAAUUUCCCUAUUUAAAGGGCUCCAAAUGUAUCUUUAAGGUAGUCAAUUAGUGAAUUAAAAAUAAUCCAAGAAGAGAGAGAGUUUUCUCCUUCCUUAAAAUCCAGUGUGAGACUUGGUCGUAUCGAGAAGAAGAAAAUGAUGCAAUGCAUGGAGAACAAACACAUUUAAGGCUUCGUGGUUUCUCAUCUUCCAAAACUUUCUGUCACCUUCUCUUUUAUGAGUUGCCUGCCUAGUAACGAUCCUAUUAUUAAAUAUUUAAUCUACCAAUGCUUUGUAAUCUCCCUAUUUAAGGGCUCCAAAUGUAUCUUUAAGGUAGUCAAUUAGUGAAUUAAAACUAAUCCAAGAAGAGAGUGAGUUUUCUCAUUCCUUAAAAUCAAGUGUGAGACUUGGUCGUGUCGAGUGAAUCCACGGUUAGCGACAUGAGUAAUUAUGUUGCCCCUAGUCGAGUGAUUCCCAGGUUCUACCCAUAGAGAAGUCGAGUGAAUCCAUUGCCAUUGGUUAAGUGAUUUCCAGUUACCCCUUGUCUUUUCGAGACCCUUGGUCUUUUCUACGUCAAGUGGCAUCAUAGUAGGUUUUUCGCUGCAGUUAAAGAUCAUGGCUAUGAUUAUCAAUCCGUUUCAAGAUCACAUCGUUGAAGAGAUUAGUUUUGUCAAUUGAAAUUCUCCGCCAAUUUAUGACAAAUAUGUUGAUGACGAUGAGUUUACUGUUGAUGUGGCUCAUCAAGGAGUUUAUCUGCUGCUAGGAGAUGAAGGCUUUGUGGAUUGGGGUUAUCCACAUAAUAUGAGUACAAUGGCGGAAACAUUUUACAUGUAGCUUCAUAAAGAGGAACUAAGGUGUACUUGCUUUGGAAUAACAUGGAAGCGGAGUUCAAAGGAAUAUUUUGUGUGACAGAACAACUUGGACUGCUCUGGAUUUGCUUUUGCUAUUGUGGCUGUUGUGGAAAAAAAUUGAAAGGUAUCCAAAAGAUCGAGGAAAACAAAAUCAAAGGAAACUCGAGGACGAGUUUUUGUUCGAGAAGAGGAAAAUGAUGCAGUGCAUGGAGAACAAAUAUAUUUAAGGUUUUCGUGGCUUCUCAUCUCCCAAAACCUUUGUGACCCUCCCUUUUAAUUGAAUUGCCUAAGUAACUAUCCUACUCUUAAAUAUUUAGUAUACCAAUGCUUUGUAAUUUCCCUAUUUAAAGGGCUCCAUAUGUAUCCUUAAAGUAGUGAAAUUAGUGAAUUAAAGUUAAUCUAAGAAGAGAGUGAGUUUUUUCCUCCUUAAAAUCAAGUGUGAGACUUGGUUGUGUCGGAUGAAUACACGAUGAACGACGUGAGUGAAUUCGUUGCCCCUAGUCGAGUGAUUCCCAAGUUUUAUUCCCAUAGAGACGUAAGUGAUUCCGUCCCCUCUGGAUGAAUGAUUCUCAGAUUACUACCCCUUUAUCUUUUCGAGACCCUUGGUCUUUUUGCAUCAUGGACCCCAAGUUAUAAUAUUCCUAAAAUAGUCAUUCCAAUUUGUCUUGUCAAUCACAAUUAAUUUGUUGAGCUAAUUUUGUUGUGUACGUGUAAAAUAAGCCAAUCAGUGUCCUUUUUAUAUCUAAAAAAUUGUAUAAUCCUACAGAGAAUAUUUAUAUUAGGCCUCAGCAAUUGAUAUAAAAGGCAACCUGUAUGAACACAUUCUUAGAGUCAAUAAUAGCAGAGCUUCUUAGAGGGGAAAGUAGAUAGGUUGUAAAACAAUGUCCUGGUUUCUUACAGUCAUCUUUCUGGUCACUACUCUUACAUUUCAUACUCCUUCAGAGGCUAUCUAUGAGGAGAUUCCAGCCUUCUGCAGUAGUUGUGGGAACUGUCUACUGUGACACAUGUUUCCAAGAGGAUUUCUCAAAUACCAGCCAUUUCAUUUCAGGUAAAUUCAUCUCAAAUUUUCAACAAGUUCUUCAUCAAGUUUUAUUUUUCUAUUGUAGCCAGUUCAAUAAUUUCCAUACACCCCUUCUCUUCUUCUAUACACACUCAUGUUUAUAUUUUAAUCAUUAAAUUUGAAUAAAUCAGAGAAAAAUUAAAAGAAGGAAAUAAACAAAAGUGUACAAAUGGAGAAAAUGUAAAAUCUAAAUUGACUGAAAACCUUUAUACAGGUAUUUCCUACGAGUCAACCAUACAACUACGAAAAAUUAAUUAACACAAAUCAACAGCAAAAAAAAUCUCACUUAAACUAAUUCCUUGACGGUAGGAUUCUGCUUUCAAUCACGAUUUCUUUCCAACAGACAACAAAACGUUGGAAGUUAUGUCAUCGUAACUUGUCAUUUUAUUGUCAGUCAACAAAACUUCCUGACAUGAUAUGGAUGCAUUAUCCAUCAAUAAUCUUGUGGGGGUUUUUGUGCAGGGGCUUCUGUUGGUGUGGAAUGCAAAGAUGGGACUUUAACAAAACAAAGUUUCAACGCACAAGUGAAAACAAACAGCCAUGGGCAGUUCAAAGUCCAUCUGCCCUUCUCAGUGAGCAAAGAUGUCAAGAAAAUUGAAGGAUGCUCCGUGAAACUAAUCCGCAGCAGUGAACCCUACUGUGCUGUGGCCUCAUCAGCCACCUCAUCUUCCCUACACCUCAAGGCAACAAAACAAGGGACUUACAUAUUCUCUGCUGGUUUCUUCACCUUCAAGCCUCUCAAGCAACCCAGCUUAUGCAACCAGAAACCCAACAUUCAGAAUUCCAAGAAAUUAAAUUCCCAGAAGUUCUCAGAGAUGGCAUUCCCAUCCUCCUCUCAGGUGGACCCCAAAAUGCCUGAUCCCUCUCUCAACCAAUCUGAUCUCCUAGGUCUCCCAGGUCUCCCAGGUCUCCCAGGUCUCCCAGGACUCCCAGGUCUCCCAGGUCUCCCAGGACUCCCAGGACUCCCAGGACUCCCAGGUCUCCCAGGCCUCCCAGGACUUCCAGGCCUGCCCCUUGCUGCUGAAAAAACUUCAUCCAAGUCCUCCAACUCCAAAACUUCAAGGAAUGGGCAACUAGGUGAUAAUAAAGAAGUCAGCCCAUCCAGAUUCUCCACCAGCAGGUUCAGCACCAUGAUUCCCAACCUACCACCUAUCCUGAUUUCUGUUGGGUUCCUAUCCUAUUGGGCGUAACCCGUUUAAGUAGAAUAAGCCCAUUUAGGUCUUCUGAGUUGUGGUUUCCUGAAGUUCUAUGUAUUUAGGUCUCUUCCUUCUCUUUCGAGAAUUAUGUGAAAUAUUGAAUGUUUAAGUUUUAUCUGCUUUUCCCAUUUUCUCUCUACUUUUCCCUCUUUCUUCUCUAACGAGAAUGUGUCGUUCAUAGACAGCUACAAGUACGGUAAUAUAAUACGAUUCAAUUAUUAGUUAAAUACAAUGAUUAUAUCGUUGAAACUUAAAAUUUCAAGAUAAGAGAUUCAAAGAUAAUAUAAUAUAUAUAUAUAUAUAUAUAUAUAUAUAUAUAUAUAUAAUAUUAUAUAUAUCAAUUAUUGUUGAAUCUUACCCAAGGAUGAAAAAGGGUAUGGGUAUUCUUUGCAGGGGUGGAAAAACAGAAGUGGGUCGGCCAUGCUUUUACUAUGUGGGCCCCUUAGAGAAAACCUGCUAAAAAUGAACCGUUUCAACAGAAGGAGGCAAAUAGCUGUACGGAACGACGACGUCCCUGAAUUAAGGUCAUCUUCUUCGAGUGCGGACGAGCCGUAUCACAUACCUUUCCUGUUUCCAUCGAGUUUGAUCUACUUCAACUUCUGUUUCGACAGAGUAGCAGGGUAAUGAUUUUGGGAAAAAAAUUUAAGGUUAGGGUUUUGGAGAAUAAUUUUGUGACUAGGGUUUUAGGGUUUUGGAUUGUUUUCACAAAAUCAUUCUCCACUGGUGAAAUAAAUCACCAUAAUAAUAGCAGUAGGCUAUGAUUUUAACUUAAUCAGUACCCAAAUGUAAAAUUUUAUGCUUAUUUCCGCAAAUACUAUUAACAAUUUAACAUGGAGUUUUAAUUUUUUAUGAAAUUUUUGUAGUUGAUUGGGUUUGUAUGAUGAAUAUUAGUGUUUUGAGCCACACUUGUUAGUCCAACUUCAAGCAAAUUUGCAAUCAGCAAGUCCAUUCUCUCUAGCUGCGACCUUCCUUGCAAAGGGAGGAAUCUUAACAGAGUCUUCAACCCUUCCCCAAAAGCUAUGAAUAAAGUCUUUAGCGACGACGGUCCAAUUAAGCACUCUAACUUUGGCCUUAUUGGUAUCGGAACGGGCCUCCCUGGAUCAGUGACAGCCGCCGCAGCUUCUACUGCCGUAAAAACUGUUCUUCACGUACCUUGACACUAACCACUUUUAUGGUGACUACUGCGCCUUUCUUCCCAUUGAUGAUUUGACUGUCUACCUAAAUUCUCAUGCUUCCCAACCCUCCGCCACUACUACCACCAAUUUCACCUCUACAAGUACAAGCCAUGAUGAUUGCAUCGCCUUACCCCUCACCCGCCAGUUGCUGUACGCCGAUACAGAGACCGUUACAUAUGCCCCUUAAGUCCUUGCACAAUAUAAUAGAAGCAAACCUCGGUCAAAUAAUAUAAACUUGAACUCCAUUUUGAGCAUUGUGAGAUAAGGGAAUGUGCUAGAAACUAUUAUGUUAAAUUCAUUCUUAUUAAACCUUUCAAAUAUGUGAUGUUUAUUAAUAAGCAUUUUAGGAAUAUCUAUGACUAUGUUUUUAGAUUGUUUGUACCAUACUUGACCAAUCCCGACACUACUAAGCACCGGUCAACGUUAUACCGUCAAGGACCUAGAAGAGUUUCCCUCCAACCAGGAGGCCAAUCACAGCGCGACACGUGUUGACAUCAGAAGCCAAUCAUAGCGCGACACGUGUCAACAUAAGAAGCCAAUCACAACACGACACGUGUUAAUGUCAGAAUGAAACUAGAAACUCUCUUCUAUAAAUAGAGAUCAUUCUCUCACAAUAUUUCCUAAUGUCAUUUGUACUAAAUCAUUCACUAGUACUCACUAAAGGAGAGCUUGAACCUAUGUACUUGUGUAAACCCUUCACAAUUAAUGAGAACUCAUCUACUCCGUGGACGUAGCCAAUCUGGGUGAACCACGUACAUCUUGUGUUUGCUUUCCUGUCUCUAUCCAUUUACAUACUUAUCCACACUAGUGACUGGAGCAAUCUAGCAAAGGCCACAAACUUAACACUUUCUGUUGUACCAAAGUCCUCACCGAUUUUGUGCAUCAACAUUUGGCGCCGUCUGUGGGAACGACACUUAUUCUCACUCUCUUCAGCUUUGUUAAGCUGGUUUCCACCAUUUGUACACUCUCUUUUGACCAGGCAUCCCUCUCCAACAUGGGGAGCGACGGAAGCCACAACACACAGAAUGACACCCUUCUUGCACCUAGUGUGAAGCAACGAAAGAAGGAAGGAAAGAGGGUUGCUUUUCAAGCUAAAGUCGAUGAGCUAGAAUCUUAAAACAACAAGAUAGCAAUGAAGAAUGAGGUCCUCCAAGAGCAGUAUGAGAAGCUCUUUAAGAUGCUCCACGAAACUAGGCGUACUCAAACACGCGAACUCGUUACCCCUGUGGACAUCAACCAUCAUCUGGAUACCUCCCAACAAGGAGGGUCACCUUCCUUCGACAUGGGUAUCCCUGAUGAGGAGCGAGCUAAUCAUCAAAACAUUGAUCAACAUGAGACUUCUUUCAACUCAGAUGCUUCGACCCGAAACAGGAGAAGUGGAGGAAGACACCUUUUUGCAGAAAGGUUGGAAGGAUCGAAAUCCAUUUAUCAUGACUGCCGAGACUUCCUAAAGCAACGUCAAGAGAAUCUCCUCCACAUAAGCUCGAAGAUCAAUGACCCAAGGGUUUCUGAAAGACUUGGUCCCCUCCCACGUCCCAGGCCGGCUACCAAUUUGGGGAAAGGGCAACAAGUCCUAGAGAAACACGAAGGUAUAGGGGGCUCAGAGAUGUUUCGACAGACAUACCUUGAAAGUCAGUACGGCGAGUCCAAGGAAAAAUCACAUGCUCUUGAUCAAACCUUCAUACUUCCAAGAGGAGAUGAACAUUUACGAAAGAAAGCUCAAGUGGUACAUGACUCCACUCAAGACCUUCUUGUCAUACAGCUUCUUAAGGAAGUAAACAAGUUGAAGGCCGAACGACAAGCUGAGAUACCUGAUUGGAACCAACCUAGGCCUGGCCCUCUUACAAGGAGGAUCCUCGACACCCCCUCCAAACAAAGACAAAGCAGAAGCUUGGCUUGCAACUCUAUACUGGAAAAGAGGACCCGAUUGAACACCUUAACCUCUUUGAGUCCACCAUGGCAUACCGGAUGCAUACCAACGAAGAGCGAUGUCUUCUCUUCCCCUCCACCCUCUCUGGCGGAGCUCUAAACUGGUAUUGUCGUCUUCCACCUGAGACGGUAGACUCAUUUGAGGAAUUGAGGAAACUGUUUGUUUCUCAACACAUUUUUCAGACUGAUCGCUUACAUUUUGCAGAUGACUUGUACACUAUUCGCCAGAAGCCGGACGAGUCACUACGAGAGUAUGCCAAUCGCUUUAGCCAUGAGUAUUCUCGAUGCGCUGAGGUAGAUGACAAGAUCGCCCUCAAGGUCUUCACGGCAAGCCUUCGUGAUUGUUUCUUCAAGUACAUGAUCAAUGCCAACACUUGGAAGACUUACUCUGAGGUGAUGGCAUAGGCUUACAACCAUGCAUCCGCCGAGGCAAGGACAUAUCAAGGGAAACCCCCCACAGCCACCCCUUAUCAGCAAGUAGGGAGUGGAAGCCAGAUCCAACCAAAUGAGAAGACCUCGACCUUCCAAACAGCAGCGGUGCCUCCCUCUGCCUUACUUAAUAUUUUGCCAAGUCAACAGACAUAUCAAUCUCAGGGCAAAAGGAAAGAUUUCUAUCCUCACCAGUCUCAUUUUAGUAAAAUGAGUAAGGGACACUACCGCGAUAACCAAGGGUAUCACCACGAUAAUCCCCGACCCCAGGCAGUCAACACAGUGGGUCAAGCACGUGUCCGGAUAGCCCAUACCCCGAGGUAUGAGGCAUACACACCUUUGAACGCCACAUGCGUGGCCAUUUACCCCAGCAUAGCACACCUGAUACCGAAGCCAAAGCCGAGGCACCUGGAUUACAAGUCCACGAAGAACACAGGCACAUUUUGUUGCUACCACGAGUAUAACGGCCAUGACGGUGAAAAGUGUAUCACCCUUCGAGAUCAUAUUGAAGCUUUGGCAUGUGAAGGAAAAAUUGAUCAAUUCCUCAUUCACUCUUCAAGGGGUAACCGUAACCAACCCCAGGUGAAUGUGAUAUAUUCCAUAAGUGGUGACACACCCAUAUCUAAAUCUUCCAACAGGGCCAUGAAAAAUAGUGAACGAGCUUUAAGGUAUGGCCACCAAGUGUUUCACGUGGAAGACAUUAGGGGAGGCAAGCAUCAAAAGCCUAACUGGGAUCUAAUAUGUUUCUACCUUGAGGAAGAAAGAGGUAUCAUCUACCCUCACCACGACCCAUUGAUCGUGGAAGCUCACAUAACCAACUUUAAAGUACGACGAAUCCUAGUAGACACGGGGGCUUCGGUCAAUAUCAUGUUUGCCGAAGUUUUCAGGGCACUUAAUGUAGCUGAACACUUGCUCGAUCGCUCGAUUUCCCUUCUGAUAAGCUUCUCCGGUGAUAUCGUGCAACCUUUAGGGAGCAUACACUUACCUUUCACCAUUGGUACAUACCUUUACACAUCUACCAUUACCACUAACUUCCUGGUGGUUGAUUGCCCAACGACAUACAAUGUCAUCUUGGGACGCACAUGCAUCAAUGAUCUCAAGGCCAUGGUAUCCAUAUAUAUGUUGUUGAUAAAAUUUCCAACCCACUAUGGCAAUGGUUACAUCAGAGGAGAUCAACUUAGUUCACGAUCAUGUUACAACACUUCGGUCAAGCAACAACACCUGCAUGUGCCCAAGGAAACCCUUUCUAUACAUGACCAAGUCAUAAAAACCAGCCCAGACGAAGCCAACUUGGAUCUUCACGGUGGCAACAGUCAACCCGAUGAUCCUCGAGAUGACUUUUUUACCCAGCAAGCACAACCCACUGAAGAGUUGGAGAAGGUCUCUAUAUUAAAAGAUUAUCCGGAUCGCAUGGUGAAGAUUGGCACCACCUUGUCACUACCCAUUCGGUUGGCAUUGAUCUCUUUUUUGCAAGAGAACACUGAGGUUUUCGCCUGGUCAUACGAGGACAUGCCAAGCGUCUCUCCCGAUAUCAUUUGUCAUCGCUUAAGUAUUGACCCCAAAACCAAGCCAGUGAGACAGAAGCGAAGAUCCUAUGACGUUGAAUUUGUAGGAGACAAUGAAGGCAGAAGUUGAAAAAGUCAAAGGCAUAGGCUUCGUCCGCGAAGUCAAUUAUCCAAUGUGGGUAGCAAAUGUUGUCCUUGUUAAGAAGAAUCCGACCAAGGAAAGUCUCCUACUCCAAAAGGUCUUGUGGAGAAUGUGUGUCGAUUACACCGACCUAAACAAAGGAUGCCCGAAUGAUAGCUUUCCUCUUCCUCUCAUAAAUAUACUUAUAGACUCUACAACAGGGUGUGAACUCCUGAGCUUCAUGGAUGCUUACUCAGGAUACAACCAAAUCCUUAUGAACCCUCUGAACCAAGAACACACAACCUUCACUACUGACAGGGGACUAUAUUCACUAGUACAAAAACAUGUUUGCGCGACGAAAACUUACGCGACGCAUAAAAUUACGUCGCGCAAAGCCGUUUUGCACGACGUAGGUGUACGUACGUCGCGCAAAACGUCUUUGCGCGACGUAAUUUUACGCGAUGCUGUCCUUCGUCGCGUAAACUUUUGGUGCCAAACCAAAAGAAUUUACCGUUUUUUCCCAACUUUGUGCGACGCAUGCCCACUUACGUCGCGCAAAGUUGUUUUGCGCGACGUAGGUGGGGAUGCGUCGCGCAAAGUCAACAACUUUUUUUCUUUUCAUUUGAUCAGUUUGGGAGGCAGAAACUGCAUACCUAGCUGCAGCAACUACCUCCAUUGCCCAUCUCUCUCUUCAAAACCGUCUACCAGAUCAGGUUUGAAGUUUGAAUUGAUAUCAAUUCUUUGUAUUUUUUCGAUUGCAAUCCUUCCCCUUUGCUCUUAAACAUGAUGUAAACUGAAUUAAUAAUAUGUAGAUCCUUCAUGUGAUUCAUUUACGAAAUUGAAAUUGCAAAAUCAAAGGAGAUAACUAUCUUGCUGAUUUUCUUUUUCUCUAUACACCAGAUCUCUUCUUUCUGUAGCGACUUAUUUGUUCGUACAUAAAAGCAGAGGUGAUAAAUUAGUUGGGGAAGACAAAUAGGCUUAUAUCCAGGUGAGGAGGACCCUGAGCACAGCUUAAGAAAUUACUAGGAAUAGCAUUGUGAGGCCUAAAUGUCAAUUGGCCAGGACUCCAUACAUGCGCAAUUUUGGUCUUUAGUAAAAACAUCUAAAUGAUGAUGGGUAUGUCCUUGAUGAAGUACCCGGUUAGCUGUUUUUACGAAGGACAAAAUACCGUAUAUGUAUGGAUUCAAACGCCACCAUCAAAUGGAUAAGAAAUUAGCGUCCAAUCCAUCGAAGCAAUUCAUGAUGUCUCCAACAUGUUGGAAGAUUUAAUUGGCAAUGGGAAGUUAGACCCAUUGAGAUGACGAAGAUGGUUUUCUCACGACGUUAAGAGUAGAAGUGUCAUCUUGAGCUCCUAAUCAAUUGUUAUAUUCCUACUGUAUAUGGUUAAUUUAUGUCUCCACCACUCAUGUAUCAUUCUUUGCAUGCGAUCCAAAAAUAAGGAUUCAAUGACCAAAAAACAUGGUUGUUGCAAAUUCAUCCAAAUUCAUGGGAAAUAAAUUAUGCUUAUAUCUUUCUCAUGAUGUGUACAUAUUAUUGAAUUGAUCUAUUCAUUUGUCAAAAAAGUGAACUAGUCGUGUUUAAUUACAUCAAAUUUGUCAAGCUGAUGUUGCCUAGCUGGUAUUCGUGUCGCCUACUUGCCAAUACGUUGAAAAUACACUCACUACUUGCAUAGAAUUUCAUAAUUGUAGGUUGUAUUUGGCUUGGAGACAUUGUGUUUUUACUUUCUUUACCAUAUUUUGGUUCAGAAAACCAGCAGUUCCGAUGACUGGAGGAAAGUCACUCUUCAGCUGGUACUCACAUUAGUUACGCGAACAAGAGCUACUGCUUACGUAAGGUUAAUGAUGGUGCUUGUCUUACUAACAGUUUCACAAUAAGUGAAUCCGUGAUAGGUGACAUGGUUUUCUGAUAAGUUGCAGUCUUUUGGAUAUUAUGCAAGCUAUUGCAGAUAUGAAUGGUGCAGAUAUUCGUCUUACUCUUCAAUCAUUCAACAGCCACUGAGCACAGCUUAAGAAAUUACUAGGAACAAGAGCACGGCUUAGCGGCCUUCUUUUAGUGUAGAUAAUAUCAUUUGUUAGAGAAAUUUUUUAUAUAUAUAUAACAAGGAAGAAAAUGAAAGAGGACAAAUAAUAAGAGAGCAGACACACGAUCGCCUACAAACUUCCAUGUAAACCCAGCCUGCUUUAUUCGUUUUUUCAGACCGAUUAAACAAAGCACAGAACUUAUUCCUCCUUUUUUAAUCCCUUAUUAAUCCCAAGUCUAUGUCUUAAGACAUUCUUUAUCUUCAACUACUUGCAUGUUUGACAUAUCUUAAUAAUAUUUCGUGUGUAACAUUUAGCUCUGAGUACUUAUCAAACAGACAUUAAGAUGCUGCCAAUCCUCAGACUGCAGCCUAUCAUCAUUUGAACACUUGUUCAAGUUUACAGUUUUGAUCCCCUGUCAACACCUACUCCCUUCUUUGUUUUGAUCCAACACCUUAUUUCAAAUCUGCAAAUAGUCACUUGCUAAGAGAAUGAGCAAUGUAACUGUUGCAUUUAGAAGUCGGAUUGUGUCAGUCGAGUGUAAGCAGGCAAUGAGCCUUUUAGUAACGCCAUCUUCUUAUGUUCAUAGAAGUCAGCAGUCUGCAAGUUUAAGCACCUUGUUUGUACAGUUUUACGUUUGUGUACCUAGUUCCAUUCAUAAGUCAGAUUUUAUCAGUUGAUUGCAAAUGCAAUCAGCAAGCAGAAUAUGUCAAUGUAUUUAGUAACAAAUGUCUCAUGCUUAGUAAAUGACUUGCGUAUUAUCUUCGUAAAUUGGCUUUCAUAACUUGUAUAAGAUUAGCAGCAUCCAUAAAUUUCUGUAGGGAAAGUUUUGAAAUUGGAUUUGUGCAUGAUAUGGGAAUUUGUGAGGAUGUAUGUUUGCUCUUGUUGUCUGUGGUCCUCCCCUGCCUUUUUCUUUAGGUUUGGUUAAAGUCUAAGCUACAUCUCUUUCUUAUUAUAAGUCGCAUGCAGAGAGAGAAGAUGAUGACGAUGGUCCUGUAUGUAUAUAUAUAUAGCUACCUCUUCUUUAUUUUUAUGAUUAUAUGAUUACUAAUUAGUCAUUUUACGUUGAUCAUAUUGAUUAAUCUAGAAUGUUAAAUCUAGUAUAUUGUUCUUGCAGACUUGUAUUUUGAAGGUGAGCAUAUGUUGUUUAGGGGGUUCCAAGCUAUGGCCACCCCACUUCACUAAGCUGUGGCCUCCCAAGUUCAUAAAAACAAAGACGGCUAUUACAUGUUGCAAAGGAUGUGCUCACAAAAUCAAGAAGAAAUUGCAGAACUUAACGGUACAAAAUCAGUUUUUUACUUCCCUCUUGCAGUUGAUCAUCAAAUUAGGAAUAUCUGCACAGAUAAAACCGGUUAAAAAUUCUUAACAAAAAUUAAACUAGGAAACGAUUUUAUUAGAACUUUGUAAUUGGUUCUGUUUGUUCUUAUGGUAUUAGUUUGUUUCUUUUCACUUGUUACUGCCUUUUGUAAUCAACUUUUUCACUGUCAUUAUUUACUCUGAUUGGUGAUGACAGAGGCAUGGCUAUUGUAUCUCAUAUAAGAGGAGAACUAAUAAGGAGAACUAAGGACUAAAUUAAGAGAUAGAUACGUAAAGUGAAAUAAAGGGUGCAUAAAUCACUUUAUAUUAAAAUGAAGUCUAAGAGACAUUUAACUACAUUUGAGAUGUCACAGUGUACAUAAAUCACUUUAUUUUCUUCGCUAAAUUAAUUUUUAUUAAUUUUAUCUAUUUUAUUUAGUUUUAGUAAUUAUUGUGAUUUAGUUUAUUUGUAUGCACAUAUUUUUGUACAUCACCUACAAAAUUGUUUUGUGUUGUACUAAGUUAAUACUACUUAACUUCAUACCCUUUUCUCAGGAAAAGCUUAGUUUCCCGUUUGAGAAUUAGUUGGAUUUCGUGCAUGGAUGUGAAAGCAUGACUGCGGUCCAAUUAAUUAUUGAAUUGUCCCAUUUUUUGGACAGUUUGGGAAUGCCCUAGUUAUGUGUUGUAGUUUGCGGUCCACAGAUUAGCUUUCGAUAGUGGAAAUUUUGGUAACAUUUCCCGAUGUUCUUUGAGUACACGGUGGAUAUUAUGUAUCUACGACGUGCACUUGAAGAACUGUAAGGAGAUGCUGGGAAAUUAGCCCACGUCGAAAUUUAAUCCAUUGGAAUCGUAAAUUACGGCACAUAACUGUGCAUUCUUGAAUGGGAUAGGGCCCUGACCAGAGGAAUAAGGUGACAAGACAAUAGUUUUCAUGUCCUAAUCUGUCUCAUAAUUUGCUUCAAUUGUACUUAAUUCCAAUUUUUGAAUAAAAUGAAUGAAUGCCAGCAGCGGUGUAGAUUUUCAAUGGCAUCCAAUUUCAUAUAGUUUAAUUAGUUAUAUCUCCAUUUACCUAUAUACCUAUUCAUUCCAAUUUUAUAUGAUCGCUUGAUGCAAAACUUUUCUAGAUAUUAUUAGUUGUAGCAGUUGCAUCUCUUAAAGAUCUAUACAACUUAUUCUCACUGGUUCACGGUGGAUUUUGCAGUUACUUCUCGAGCGUGGGGAAGCACGAAGGGUUAUUCCUUGGUAACACAUUUAUAAGGAUUCCGUUGUAGACGUUGUUGUAAUUCUUGUACUUUUAUUCGGAUUGCAGACAAAAUGGACAAACAGUGGAUACAUAAUCAUAAUAGAUGUGUUGUUGAGUACUUGGAUGGAAUACAUGCGUUCAUUGAAUUCGCAACUAGACAUAACCUAGGUUCAACUCAUAUCCGAUGUCCAUGUAGGAGGUGUAACAACUCAACGUGGGAGACAUUCAAGAAUGUUUGAUUUCAUUUAGUAAGAAAUGGGAUGAUGGAGACCUAUACUACUUGGUGUCAUCAUGGAGAACGAUUAGACCAAGCUUCGUCUUCAUACGUGACACGAGUGGAAACUGUUGAAUCAAAUGUGGAUCCUAAUGAACAAGUUAUGAAUAUUCUAAAUGACGUUUAUUCAUACGCCUCGAGCAACACCAAUCAGGAAGAGGGAGAAGAGGGAGAUGACGGCCGUCCAACCAUGGACAGUGAGGCAUUCAAAAACUACGAAAAACUAUUGAAAAAUGCCAAGCAAGAAUUAUAUCCAGGUUGUGAGAACUUUUCAAUGCUCACAACAAUUGUGGAGUUGAUGCAUGGCAAGAUCAAGUUUCGUUUGUCAAACAAGUGUUUUGAUUACUUUUUGGGAGUUAUCAAAAGGAUGGUUCCAAAGGAGAAUUGUUUACCUAAAGAUCAUAAAAGUGCCCAAAAAGUGUUGAAGGGUCUCGGAUUGGGGUAUGAAAAAAUUCAUGCAUGUGUAAAUAAUUGUAUAUUGUUCUAUAAGGAGAACAAAGCAUUGGAUAAAUGCCCUGUCUGCAAUGAGCCGAGGUUUAAAAUGACAUCACAGAAUAGAAACACCAAGAUUCCACAAAAAGUAAUGCGCUAUCUUCCAUUGAAGCCUAGGUUGCAGCGAUUGUACAUGUCGAUGCAUACCGCAACCGACAUGAGAUGGCAUAAAGAAGGAUGGGUAAAUGACGAUGUUAUGAGGCAUCAUGCAUAUGGAGAGGCAUGGAAAGAAUUCGAUCGGAUGUACCCUGAUUUUGCAGCUGACCCGCGCAACGUCAGAUUGGGACUUGCCACCGAUGGAUUUAAUCUGUUCGGGGUUUUAAACCUAAUGCACAACACUUGGCCGGUCAUCGUGUUUCCUUAUAAUUUGCCACCUUGGAAGUGCAUGAAAAAAGAAUACAUGAUGUUAAUUCUAUUAAUUAACAAAGAUCCAGGAAAGUCCAUUGAUGUUUAUUUGCGGCCGUUGGUUGAUGAGCUAAAAGAUUUAUGGGAAAACGAUGUUUGUACAUACGAUAAAUAUACUGGGCAGAUGUUCACCAUGCGAGCGGCAGUGAUGUGGACAAUAAAUGAUUUUCCCGCUUAUGCAAUGGUUUCUAGAUAGAUGACUAAGGGUUAUUUGGCAUGUCCAAUAUGCAAGGAGAACGUAACAUCAUCUUGGCAUGCAAGAAAAGUUUGUUAUCUUGGUCAUCGUAGAUGGCUCCCUUGGGACAACGAGUGGCGUCAGAAUGAUAAAUCCUUCGACAGCACAAAAGAAACUCGGCCAAGACCAAGAGAAUAAUCCAGAGAUGAGAUUUUGGAUCAGUUAAACCGUUUGGAAUUUGGUCAUUUCGGCAAAGGGGUCAGUAACCCCAAACCAACUACACAUCUGAACUGGACACACAAGAGUAUGUUAUUUGAGCUUCUGUAUUGGUCAAAGUUAAAAUUGAGACGCAACCUCGAUGUUAUGCAUAUUGAGAAAAAUGUGUUUGACACUUUGAUCGGGACAAUUCUAGACAUUGAAAGAAAAACAAAAGACACGAUCGAAGCUCGCCUCGAUUUGGAACGAAUGGGUAUUAGGUCAUCCUUGUGGAUGAAGAAUGUCGGUGGUACAUUGAAGAAAGGCCAUCCCUUUUUUACAUUUAAGCCGAAUGGGAAAAAAGAGUUUUUCAACUUUAUUUCUUCUGUAAAGUUUCCAGAUGGGUAUGCUUCCAAUAUCUCGCGUUGUGUGAACGUGAAGGGGUGUAAAUUUCAAAACAUGAAGAGUCAUGAAUGUCAUGUGAUACUCCAACGCCUUCUUCCAGUUGGUAUUCGACACUUAUUGCCUCUUGAUGUGGUGAAACCAAUCGUGUUGUUGUCGAGAUUUUUUUCGCAGUUGACUGCAAGGUGUUUGUGGAAGUCAGAUGUUAAACAAUUGCAGGACGACAUAGUGAACGUCUUAUGCAAGUUCGAACAGAUAUUUCCCCCAGCUUUCUUUACAAGUAUGAUUCACGUGAUGAUUCACUUGCCAGAUGAGGCAUUGCUUGCCGGACCAGUGAACUGUCGAUGGAUGUAUCCAAUAGAAAGGUACUUAAUUAAGCGUCUAUAUAUAUAUAUAUAUAUAUAUAUAUAUAUAUAUAUAUAUAUAUAUAUAUAUAUAUAACAUAUUCAUGAUCAACGAACGCUUUGAAUAAUUUGUAGCAUACCUUUUAUUUGUGCAUAUAUCUUGGUGAGUUGAAAACUUGUGUUCGAAACAAGGCAAAGCCCGAAGGAUCACUUGUGGAUGCAUGGGUCACAUAUGAGUCACUUACUUUUUGUGCAAUGUAUCUUGAAGAUGUUGAGACAGCUUUCAAUCGUCCAGAACACAAUAAUGAUGGUGGUGUCAGAAAAGAGAAACUGUCUAUUUUUCCCCAAAUUGCACGACCAUUCGGCGAUCCUGUAAAAGACGAAUCGUUUACCAAAAAGGACAUGGAGGUAGCGCAUUGGUUCAUACUCAACAAUUGUGACGAGGCUUUGCCAUACCUUGAAGAGCAUGAACAAUUGAUGAAGCGGGAACAUCCUUCACAUUUAUAUGCCAAGAAGCACCGUGACUUGUUUCCUUCGUGGUUUCAUGCACAUGUAAGUUGUAUGUGGUUUGAAUUGAGCAUAUUUUCCAACUUGUUCAUGCCCGUCUUUAAAUUUGGUUAUACUAACAAGUUAAUUUUUUGUAUAUGUUAUAUUAGAUGAACAAAUUGAAGGAAUUGAAUUCACCCUCUUACGAUGAAGAAUUAUAUAACUUGGCGAGAUGACCGCUUCACGUUGAAUUGUUCUCAGGUUGUCAUGUCAACGGGAUCAAGUUCUUGGGGGAAACACGUGAUGACAAGUUGUCUACUUAAAAUAGUGGUGUCCAUGUCCCAGGUGCGGGUGAUAGUGAAGACAUUGAUUUUUUUGGCAAACUAACUAGUGUAGUACAAUUGCUUUACAAAGAUAGGUGUCAAGUGAUAUUGUUUAAGUGUCUUUGGUUUGAUACAAACCCACAUAACCGAACGAGUGUUAAGCGAGACCAUGGUUUACUAUCAGUAAACAUUAUGAGACAUUGGUACGAUGAAGACCCAUACAUUUUGGCAACAAUGGCAAAACAAAUAUUCUAUCUAGACGACCCUAAAGCUGGCAAUGGUUGGAAAGUUGUUCAAAAGAUUGAUCGAAGAGGGCUAUAUGAUAUUCCAUAACAAGAUCAUGAUGACAAUUACGAUAACGUCGCUGACCAACAGUUAUCAUCUUCGAUAGAAAUUGGUGAAGAAACACUCCGGGAUACUAAUAUUGUCCAAGAACCGUUUGACGUAGUUGGAUUUCCUGAAUUCGAAAUAUCAAUUGACCUUGGUGAUCUACCUCAAUACAAUGCAUCGGAAGAGGAAAACGAAGAUGAAGACAAAUGGGAAUCCGGAAAUGAUAGUAGUGAGGAUAGCGAGAGUAAUUAUUGUAGUUCAGAUGAUGAUUAAUAUAAACUUGUAAAGAAAAAUCGUGCUUUUUCGUUUAUAACCGUCAAAAAGUUUUGUCCCUUUACAUAAUCUCUGAAUGUUUGUUUUUUGCAAUUUUUGGCGUCUGCGAUCUCGAAGCAUAUACAAACAAGUUUGACGGUUGGAUAGUUGAAAUUAGUUUUGUACAAUGCGUUUCCCAUCAAGUUCAAUGGUAUAUAUAUUUACUAAGUUGAUUUUAAUUUAUUUAUUUUGUACUUAUAACACUUAAGAAAUUUAAUGAUAUAUAUGUAAAAAAAAAAUUAUUGUGAGUUUUUGUUAGAAAAAUAUAUUAUUGUGGGGUUUAUGUAAAAUAAAUUUGAAUUUGAAAGAAGUAAAAUCACAUUUUUAGUAAUUUUUAUAAUAUUUAAAAAAAAAUAAAAUAAAAAAACCUUGCGCAACGUCUUAAUGUAGUCGUUGAGCAAAACUACUUUGCGUGACGUCAAUUUGUAUACCUACGUCGCGUCAUGUGAUAAUUUUGGCGCUCUAAUAGUGAAAAAUAGGCGUUUGUUUUCAAUUUUCCAAGUUUGGCAAACUUUUGAACCCCAUAGAUCUCUCUCUUCCCGUAUACCUCUCUCUUCCCACUCGCUCUUUCUUUCCCGCACGUAGACAUGCAUCUCUCCCUCUCGCUCUUUCUUUCCUGUACGUAGACCUGCAUCUCUCCCUCUUUCUCUCUCUUUCCCGUAGACCUCUCUCUCCUCUUCGCAACCUUCAACCCCCAAAUCUCAAAGCCGACGCGACGUAGGUUCCCAAAAUCAAGGUAAGGGUUUCUCAUUUUCGAUGGGUUUUUGUUAUUUAGGGUUUAGGGUCAAAUUGCAUGUUGAUUUCUGAGUACUUUGUCGAAAUCUCCAGAUAAAAUUGGAUGUUGGUUCUGAUUUGAUAGGGUUUCAGAUUUGUGAUGGUUUGAGGUUAUGUGGGUCUGUUGAUUUUGUUCAGUUGAUAGGGUUUGAGGUUCUGAUUUAGCACAGUGGUGGGUUUUCUCGAAGAACCUUAAAAGCAUGAAUCCUUACUCUGUCGUCCCUGGUACAAAAUUUCAACUUAUUUUUGUAUAUUUCUGAACCAAAUAUAUAUAUAUAUAUAGCAUCUUGAUCUUCUUCUUCACAGGGCAUGUUCAUCGGCUGUGAGGUGGUGGUUAUCUGUCAGUCUCCUGGUGAAAUUCUCAAUCUUUCUCUCUUAAUUAAGUGUUAAUCAUAGCUUUUAAACUGUUUUUCUUUCACUCAUCAGUCAUCACAUCCACACUCAGCUCAUCCUUCUCCAAAUUAAACUCAUUUUCUGGGUUUUUUUUUCUUUCAAAAGGGAAAUCUCAGUCACAAGGACAUGUAAAGUUCAUUACCCGUAAAUUUCAUUUGGUUUUUGUUACAAAUGGAACAGGAAUGGCUUACUUGCAAUUUAGGACUUGUAAUUUGAUAAUAAUAAAAGAAGGACGUCUGUUUAUUGAGAGAUGCCUAGGACUGGUUUGAUGUUUGUCAACGAAAGUAAGCUUUGAAUUUCAGUAGGCGGUGCUACCAAGCUUCGAACUUAAUUUGACCUACCACCAUUUGUUUUACUUCGAAUUAAAACAUGGAGAGAUCCUGCUAUAGAUUUGUAAAUAUUAUGCUAGCAAAGUCUUUUGAGCAUUAUGAUUUUCUUGUCCUGUAGCAGCAUAAUAAUGCUCAUAUAUGAUGCUAACUGUUACAUCCCAGACUCAAUCGUCAGUUAAUUAUAUUAUGAGUGAGUUCGGGAAUAACAUGAACCUAAUAGGUAAAUACCUCAGAAAUUUUCCUUUUGCUUAUUUAAUUGGCAUUGACUUGCAUAUAGUAUUCAUGCAUGUUAGAUGUAUUCUGGAAUAUCUUGUUCUUUUAAAUAGUUGUUGUGAAAAACCUGUAUUCUUGUUCUGAAGAAUGAGCCCUGCAUAUGGCUUUUCCAGAUUUGUAGGAAGUGUUAACUUUUCACAGGGGAUUGAAACUAGAAAACAUUUGAUGCACAUACUUAUAUAUGAUAUGCCUGAUUGCUUAACCCACUGCCUCAAGCUAUUACGGUAUUACCUUAGAUGAGAAUUUUACUUGAAUAGACUUAAGCAGUGCAGGACCCGACCAUUUAAAUACUGUACUUUUGAGCAGUUGCAUUAUAACCCACAUAUCCCAUGUAAAGUUUAUUCUAAACCUUUCAUGAGGUGGAACAAAUUAGUGAAAAAAUCUAUCAUUUUUGCUCACAAAAUACACAUACUGCCACAGUUUAACUAAUUUGAUCCUUAUAUAGUGAUUCUCUUUUAGGGUUUGUUCAGAUGCAAGAAAGGAUUAGUUUAAAUAUUCUUGUAUUGAUAUUAUUGCUCUAAUUACUUAUAUUACUUUGGUUGCUAUUUUAUUAGUUUCAAAUGCAAGAAAUGAUUAGUUUCUAAUGUUAUAUUUGUAUGGUUCAUAAAGUGUAUAGAUGUCGCAGUUGAUCACUCGUCGUCGGAGUGUGUCCAAUGCAGCUCCUGCAUUAUCAGCAUCUAGUGCUCCAGGUGUGAGUGCUCCAAGCGUGAGUGCUCCAUUGAUUGGGGAGCCUACACCCCUUACGGAGGCUACUCCUACGACGUCCCAGGUGCCCGUAUCAUCAACGUCAUCAGUGUCAGUUCAACCCCUCAGUGCACGGCGGCCUCCCUAGCGCCGCCGCGAGCCGGAGCCUUCUGAUCACACUUCCUUGUCCUCCAGAGUCGAGGAUGGGGCCUCCCAACCAGGUAGUUUUUUUUCUAAUUCUCACUACGUUGCAUUUUUUUUUCAUUUCAAAACUAUUACUUUUAUGAUUGUGAAAAUGUGUUGCGGGUUGUGAAUUACUGUUUUAAGGUACUUUUAUGAUUAGGGGAGGUUUUGCCGAAUUUUUUGUACAAAUUUAAGCUUAGGGUUUUUACCAUUAAAGUUUUUUUGGGUAGCUAAAAAAAAACACCAAGGGGCCCAAUCGAAUGUUGAAGGAGCUACAGCUUGUACGUAUGUCUGCCUCCUUGAUCAAGAUUGCGUAUGAUGAGCGACAUUGUGGAGCGGUUACCUCACAGCAGCAUAACAGCGUCGUUAAUUGCUGUGGUUUUAUUAUUAGGAAUUUUUGUCCUAUGCGGUGGGAGAGUUGGGCAAAAAUUCCCGAUGAGACGAGGACCCUGGUGCGAGAUAAUUUGGAGGUUAGUAAAUUAAUUUUUAGCAAAGUCAACAUCUUUCUCUGCUUAAACUAUUGCAGGGCCAUCAUCUUGAUUAAUAAAGUCAAGAUCUUUCUCUCAAUUUCUGUUUGGUUGCUAAGAAAAUGUAGGGGGGAAAGAGAAAUCAGGUGCAUUUCAUUGUUUUGCACCUGAUAGCCGAGUGUUGUUGUGGUGAAUAAUUUGGUCAUGUAUUUUGCACACUCUUCUUCUAUUCAUAAUUGGGAGCAGGUGUGGUCCUUUAGUUUUGGUUAAUUUCAGUGAUUUGCGGCACUGUUCUUUGUUGUCUGAAUGCUUCAUGGGAAGGAAAUUGAAAAAUAAUUCCGUGAACCAAUGUUAAAAUAAUGAUUAUGUUGGUUAGGUGGAAGGAUUACUAUCUUAUCUGAUGCAUAUUUAUGGGUUUUUAGUUUUGGUCUACGUCCUUGCUUAAUGAUUUAUGAUAGUGUUUAAGUGAGUAUGCAUGCCGUCUCUAGUACAUUGCUUUGCUUGUGUUGUGCAUCAGUUAACCUGAUCCAUAGUAUCCACUGGUUGAGCAACAUCGUGAUACCUAAACAUUAUGCCUAUACAUGCUGUUUUGUUUUAAUCAUUAAGUGCUUCUUGGGACUGGCUAUACUAAUCAAAUAAUCUAUCUUUUACCGAGCGAGUCCUAUGUAUGGUUCUUGACUUUGCCUCAAUUUGAUAGUGAAUUGUUUUUAGUUGUUGUCCUGGUUUUAUUUAUUAAAGUGAACUACGAAAGCAGCCUUAAAUAGUCGAGUUAAAUCCUUUGUUGAGAAAUUGUGCUAAGGAAAGGAAUUUGAUAAAUAAUUUGAGUGUUAACCUUAUGGUUUGAACAUUAAAGGUUUGACACUUGCGUGAAGCUGAGGUUUGACACUACUUUCCGAACUAGUAUGAAUGAUCCUAUAUAUAAAAAUUGUUUAUAAUUUUGUAAGCUUCCUGUAUAUUACUGUAACCACUUUCUACACAUUUACUUACCUUCUUAUGAAGUUUUUCUUCGAAUCUGCUAAUAUUUGUUGGGUCAUUUAGAAAUGACAUGCUUACUACAUGCUAUUCUUAGUGGGUUGCAGUUGGACAAGAGUCUCAUAAACAUGUUACACAAUUUGAUUUCUGUAGUUGCAGCAGCAUAAUUUUCAUUCUGUCAGUUUUACUACUUCUGGAUUGUAAGCACAACCAGUUUAAACAGGCAUGAUGUUGUAAAUUACUUUAACGAAGCUCACAUCUUAAGGGGUAAAUUGGUUUUUGGUUGUAAAAAUUAGAGCAUGUCCUUAGUAACAGCUAUUUGGAAGCCAACAUGAUUAACUGACUGUUAAAGUGGGAUAUGAAAUGCUUGUAUGCAAUAGGUUACCUUUAUGGAAUUGCAUUAAAUUGUACAUGCAUGACUUUUUUUUUCUUUUUGGGUAAAGUAUAUAUAAUAGUAGUUGGCUUACAUCCUAACAAAUCAUUUAACAUGCUACUGGAAUAGUUGAUCUUGAGUUACAGUCAGUGCAGUUACAACCUCUCUAUAAAAUGUUGAAUUUCCACCUUUGGUCUCUGUACCGGUGGAAAGAGGCUCACAUGGGAGAUCAAAACCCCACUCUUGAGAUCUUUCAUAAUAUAAACAUUAUAUUGUUUGCUUCCUAACAAAUUAAGAUUCUAGUUAUUAUUGUAAACCGACAAACUUUAUCAGUAUCUUAUAAACUAGUUGUCAAUUAUUCUGAUACAUGGUCAUUUUGUUUGUCAUUUUGUUUUUCAUAUUUGUAGGUCGUUUUUGAAAUGGAGGACAUAUCCCCUGAGGUCAGUGCCUACUUAGAGGAGACCUUUGCAAGCCGGUACAAAGAUUGGAAGAGCACUCUUCACAAGCAUUUUUAGCUAUGGGAAUCUCCGGAGAUUGCUCGCCUACAGGGUUGCCCACUCGAGUAUAAGGAGCGGCGAGAGGAUUGGGAGUGGCUCUGCACACAUUUUACGGAUCCAAAAUUUGUGGUAUGUACAUAAUACUUUAAUAAUAAUUUAUUGUUUUUGUUAUUUCAUUUAAGCUUUUUUUAAUAAUUUCUUUCAAAUAGUCGCACUAACAUGUAUAUUGUAUGUUUAACAGAAUAAAUCUGUUGUUGGCAAGAAAGCUCGGGACUCAAAGACACUUCUCCACCAUUCCAGUUCGAAGCCCUUUUCGUAUAGGGUUGAGGCACGACGUGAGGUAAAAGUAUAUUAAUUUUGAAAUUUUAUACAAUCUAUUUUUUAUUAUUGAUUAAUAAAAUUUUCUUAAUGUUUUUUUUUUCUUUAGAAGGGUUCUAAGUUCCCACAGAUUGACCUGUUCAAGCAUGUUUACGUUCAUCCCAACAAUGAGAAUAGUGACCAGCUUUAUGUAAGUAUAUGUAAUUGUUAUUUUUCUUAUUUUUAUGAAUCGUUCAAAUAUUAUUUAUAUUUUGUUAUUAAACAUAGUGGAAAAGAGCACUGCUAUUCUCCAAGAAGCAACAUCGCAGCUUCCCCCAAAGACCCCGAUCGAGGACGUCAUUGUACCCAAGGAUGCAAAUGUUCAGAUCGUGACUGAGGUCCUGGAUCAGAAGUUCGGUCGUCAUCAUGGUAAGGUUGUUAGGUGUACGGGGAAGGCGGGGGUUCGUGAAACGGGUGCCUCUUCUUCCAGAUUGUCCACAGGAAAGGUCAAUUCCUUGAAGGAGGAAGUGACAACCCUAAGAGGUCAGGUUACGGCCCAGGGCGACCACAUUAGGGCCCAGGACGAGAGGAUGAAUAUGAUUGUUCAGGCCUUAGCGAUGUCUGGCCUCCAAAUCCCGACGAUGCCAACACCUAAUGUUGCUCCACCUUCGACUUCCCAGCCACUUUACCCAGAUGAUACCGAGUAGCAUGAUGUAUUAAACUUAGAAGACUUGUAGUUUUUUAAUUUCUUGUUCGGACAAACGUACAUUUUCAUAUAUUCUAUAAUUAAUUACUUUUUCUUGGUUUAUUAAUUAUUGUUUAGAAUUUAAUUAUAAUAUUUAUUAAAAAUUAAAUAAAAAAAUAUAAAUGACAAAAAAAAAGGUUUGCGCUACGCAGUGCCUACCUACGUUGCGCAAAGCUACUUUGCGUGACGCAGGACCUACGUCGCGCAAAUUUACUUUGAGCGACGCAGUGCCUACGCGACAUAGGACCGUCGUCGCGCAAAGUCAAAAAUACGUCGCCCAAAAAUUAGCUAAACGAACCUUCAUCGCGCAAGAACCGUCGCGCGAAGGUAGUGAAGGAAGGGUUUGUGCGACACAGUGCCUACCUACGUCGCGCAAAGCUACUUUGCGUGACGCAGGACCUAUGUCGCAUAAAUUUACUUUGAGCAACGCAGUGCCUACCUACGUCGCGUAAAGCUACUUUGAGCGACGCAGGACCUACAUCGCGCAAAGUAGCUUUGCGCGACGUAGGUAGGCACUGCGUCGUACAAACCCUUCCUUCACUGCCUUCGCACGACGGUUCUUGGGCGAUGAAGGUUCGUUUAGCUAAUUUUUGGGCGACAUAUUUUUGACUUUGCGCGACGACGGUCCUAUGUCGCGCAAAGUCUUUUUUGUACUAGUGAUUGCUAUAAAGUCAUGCCCUUCGGCCUAAAAAAUGCAGGAGCGACUUAUCGGAGACUGGUCAAUUCAAUGUUUGCCGAACAGAUUGGGAAGAGGAUGGAAGUUUAUGUUGAUGAUAUGCUAGUCAAGAGCAAACAUGCUAACCAACACAUCACCAACCUAUCUGAAACUUUCACCAUUCUGAAGAGGUAUCGAAUGAGGUUAAACCCCAACAAAUGUGCCUUCGACGUAGGCUCUGGCAAAUUCUUAGGCUUCAUGAUAAGCCAACGAGGUAUUGAGGCUAAUCCCGAGAAGAUCAAAGCAAUCAUCGACAUGAAGGAACCGGUAACCUCAAAAGACAUCCAAAGCCUUACUGGCAAGGUGGCAGCCUUAACUAGGUUCAUCUCUAAGGCCACAGACAGAUGUGCUCCUUUCUUCAAAGCAUUUAAGGGAAGUAAAAAGUACAUUACAUGGACUGAUGAAUGUGCUGAGGUAUUCAAGAACCUCAAAGACUACAUGAGUAAAGCCCCUCUGCUCUCCAAACCUGAGGUUGGUGACACUCUCAUUAUCUAUCUGUCGGUAUCAGCUUCAGUAGUAAGUUCCGUUCUCAUUCGAAAAGAUGGUAAUGUCGAACGGCCUGUCUACUACGCUAGCAAGGCCUUACAAGAUGAGGAGACACGAUACUCCAACAUUGAGAAAUUAGCUCUAACAUUGGUCGUGUCUGCUCGAAAACUUCGCCCUUACUUCCAAGCACACUCCAUCAUCGUGCUUACCAAUCAUCAUCUUCGACAAAUACUCCAAAGUCCUGACACUUCUGGGCGAAUGAUCAAAUGGGCAAUAGCAUUGGGUGAGUUUGACAUCUCCUACUAACCAAAGCCAGCUGAGAAGGGCCAAGCAGUGGCAGACUUCAUCGCCGACUUCACAUAUCCUAUUAACAUUGUUUCUACGCCCAAAGAAGUGGUUUCAUUACCCUCGGAAGCUCAGAAAACAGAACCAACAGCCCCAGCAUGGAGACUAUAUGUUGAUGGCUCAUCCAACCAACAGGGUUGUGAAGCAGGACUAGUCCUUACGACCCCUGACAAAGUGGCAAUGAAGUAUGCUAUUCGUUUCAAAGUUAAGGAGUCGAACAAUGAGGCCGACUAUGAAGCCCUCCUAGCAGGCUUAUGUUUGGCCAAACACCUUGGGGUUAAACGAAUUGAUAUCUUCAGUGACUCUCAAUUGGUGGUUAACCAAGUCACCAACAACUUUGACGCUAAGGAUAGCUCAAUGGCAGCAUAUAUGGCACAAACACAAUUGUUGCUCAAGCACUUCCAGUACCAGAUCACCCAAAUUCCUCGAGCGGCAAAUAGUCAUACAAAUGCUUUGGCUCACCUCGCCUCAGCGGUGGAAGACAAGAUUGGGAGAAGAAUUCAGGUCGAAUUGUUGGCAGCACCAAGCACCAUGGUUGCGGAAGUGUGCAACUUACAACAGGGGGAUAGUUGGAUUACCCCGAUUUAUAGAUUCCUUACUCAUGGCACCCUUCCAAAUGACAAAGUCCAAGCUAAGCAAAUUCGAUACAAGGCUACCUGUUACUUGAUCAUUAAUGAUCAACUUUACAAGUGGGGUUUUAACCUACCAUACCUAAGAUGCCUUACGCCCGUAGAGGCGAAAACUGUCCUUCGGGAAAUACAUGAAGGAGUCUGCAGAGAUCAUGCUAGAUCUCGAUCCCUAGCACACAAGGCUUUUUGCCAAGGAUUACUGGCCGACACUCUACCAAGAUGCCAUCAAAAUAUCCCGCUCAUGUGAUAAGUGUCAACGCAACGUAAUUAUUCCUCACUCCCCUCCCGAGCAGCUCACUCCUAUGAUCAGCCCUUGGCCUUUCGCCCAAUGGGGACUUGAUUUGAUUGGCCCAAUGCCUGCAGGGAAGGGCAAAGUUCGCUAUGCAAUCGUUGCAGUUGACUACUUCACAAAGUGGGCCGAAGUAGAACCCUUAGCAACCAUUACUAAGGCAAAAAUAGAAGACUUCGUAUGAAAGAACAUCCUUUGCAGAUUCGGCAUUCCCGAUGCGAUAGUCAUUGACAACGGGCGACAGUUCAACAACAAUAAGUUCAGGAUGUUCUGCUCUAAGUUCAACAUCAACUUAUGUUUUGCCUCCCCAGCUCAUCCCCAGUCUAAUGGACAAGUUGAAGCUAUCAACAAAAUAAUCAAGCGAACUUUGAAAACCAACUUAGACAAGGCUAAAGGUUGUUGGCCAGAAUUUGUACCCCAAGUUUUUUGGUCAUACCGCACUUCGUAUUAGACAUCAACACGAGAAACCCCAUUCUCACUUGCCUUUGGUACAGAGGCAGUUGUCCCAGUUGAGCUUGAAUAAGCAACAUUUCGAGUCCAGAACUACGUGCAAGGCGAAAAUGACAAACAACUUACCCUCAACUUAGAUCUAGUUGAGGAACACAGAAACCAGGCUCACUUGAGGAAUGUCGCCUACAAGCAGCGCAUCUCCAACUACUAUGACUCAAGGGUCAAACCUCGUUCUUUCAAAGUGGAGGAUUGGGUAUUAAAGAAAAGAUUACUCUGCGACAGAGUCCCGAGUGAAGGAACACUUAGUCCAAACUGGGAUUGACAGUUUAAAGUUGUUGGCAUCAGUCACCCUGGCUCCUACAAGCUUAGAAGCUCCGAUGGCAAGACCAUUGGCCAUCCAUGGAACGCUGAUCACUUGAAGUACUAUUACAAGUAAACUCACAUUGUACAAGUGUUAAGCUUCAACAGUUCAUCAUCCUAUGUAACGAAGACUAUUUGGCAUGAAUUCAAUAAAGAGGUGAUUUAGAUAACUCGGUCCUAAUCCUCUUACAUUCCUAGCAAUGAAACACUCGGGCCCAAAGCUUCAACUCCAAAGCUUCACUUACAAAAGCUUCAACACAAAAGCUUUACCCACAAAAGCUUCAUCAUUUGAGGACAACUACGAAUUCUCAAAAGCUUUACACUAUCUUGAUCAAGAUAGUGUGAAGCAAAAUCAAUUCAUGGUACCCAACAAAAGCUUCAACUCCAAAGCUUCACCUACAAAAACUUCAACAUAAAAGCUUCACCCAUAAAAGCUUCAACACAAAAGCUUCACCCAUAAAAGCUUGACCCACAAAAGCUUGACCCACAAAAGCUUCACCUACAAAAGCUUCACCCACAAAAGUUUGACCCACAAAAGCUUGACCCACAAAAGCUUGACCCAUAAAAGCUUGACCCACAAAAGCUUGACCCACAAAAGCUUGACCUACAAAAGCUUCAACACAAAAGCUUCACCUACAAAAGCUUCACACUAUCUUGAUCAAUUCAUGGUGCCCAACAAAGCUUUAACCUCAAAGCUUCACCUACAAAGCUUCAACACCAAAGCUUCACCUACAAAGCUUAAAAAUAUAUAUAUAUUUUUUCAGAAAUUCAAAAAUUCAAAAAUUCAAAAAAAAAAAUUCAAAAAUUCGAAGAAAAAAAAUUCGCCUAGGUCUCCUCUUCUUUAGGCCUAACAACUUUCAUAACAAAUAUAUAUAUGAAUGAGGAGUUUUGGGCUACCAUUUAAAAAGGAAAUGCCACAUUCGUCAACUCCCUCGACCGGAGACUUGGGGGACACCUACCAUAUGCUACUGCACCUUGAUAUUCAGAAGUCUCACGACCACUCAGUGACUUGGAUUUUUCAAGUCUCCAACCGAGAAGUUUUCCUCACUCGGGAAAUUAAGGAAGUACUACCUCAACAUACAUGUUUCACUCUCAAAGCUUCAACAUACAAGCUUCAACAAAAGAAAAAAUUCAAAGAACUUAGUGAAGAAGGCCUUGGUGUAUUCAACACAAUACGUUGAAAUGAAGCAAAGCUUGUUUAUUGAUAUCUUCGAUAAGUUACAAAUAUGUAUAUAUACAUGAAUCAAAAUAAACAAACAAGAGAGAGCCUUCACAAAGGUUGCUCAUGAGAAGUCUCAGCAGUCGGCAGAGCCCCAGAAAGAGUAGGCAUCAGAAGGUGAUCAUUCGGAGCCUCAGUACUGGUAGAGAACCCUAGAAGGAGGAGGCACCAAAGGUUGAUCAUUCGGAGCUUCAUUACGUGGUACAGCCCCAGAAGACAAAGGCAAUAAAUGCCUUUGGAACAAACCCACAAACCUCUGAUUAUCAAGCAAAAUCUGACCAUCAGAUUCCUGCAGCUGGUCAAGCUUCAUCUUCAUGUUUGUAGUAUAGUCAUGUGCGAGCCUGUGCAACUGUUUAUUCUCAUGCUUGAGCCCUCUGAUCUCCUGUUUGAGACUUAUCACUUCAGCCGCCAAUUAUUCAACUUGGCGGGUUCAAGCAAAUAGGUGUUGGGCCAUAUUAGACACAGAACCUGCACACUGAACACUGAGAGCCAGAGAAUCCUUAACAGUCAACUCAUCAGACCGUUUGGAAAUUAGUCUGUUAUCUUUAAGAGUGAGAAGGUUCUUGGCCACCACCGCAGCGGUUAUAUCAUUCUUCAUCACAGAGUCCCCAACGGUAAGAGGACCAGUAAGGGAUAAGAAGAAUGGGCGCCAUAUGUUGUCUUGAGAAGGCAUGGCUGCCUCUUCACCAAAGUUCAAGUCAAAACGACGGUCGGAAGGGCCAUACAUUCUCAGAAAUGAUGAAGGAGAAAUGAGGUGCAAUAAAUCUCUGAAGUAAGGGGAAAAUUCAUACAAGCAAUAACUCUCUGAAUGUACUUCUUGCACACAAUUGGUGCCCUUAUAAAAGAAAGGGUAACAAGGCCGUUGGUUCAAAAAUCGAAAAGGCAUCACUCUUCGGAUUUCAAAGAGACACCACUCUCCACACGCAACAUCAGCUCCUCGGGUACCACAGAUAACUUUGCCAAAGAUCUCUGACAAAGUUUAGACAUAUAAAUUUUGAAGGUCCAGCUACCCUACUAUUACUCACAAGGGUAAAGGAACAACACCACUACUUGAUAACUGAAGAGUCCCUAUGUGUGUCAACCUCCGUGCUCCGUGGCAAGGUAGAUUGGCAAAAAUGCCCAACCUUUACUCAUAUUCGAGAAAACACUCCCAAUAAGAUUACUUUCUAAAAAAUUGAAGAGGCACCGCUCUCCGAAUCUCAAGAGCCAGACUCCCAACAGGAUUGUUUUCUCAAAAAUCGAAGAGGCACCGUUCUUCGAAUCUCAAGAGCCAGAUCCCCGACAGGAUUGCUUGUUCGAAAACCGAAGAGGCAUCGCUCUCUGAACUUCGAGAGCCAAAUUUCCUUGGAUAAAGCUUGUCUGCAAUCUUCACACGCAACAUCAGCUUUCCAGAUACCACAUACCACUUUUUCAAAGUGCUCUGACAAAGUUAAAACACGUGAAGCUUGCAGCUCCCACUACAUUGCUACGACCAAGAAGGGUAAAGGAAUAGCAUUAUUACUUGCUUAAAAA